Molecule: long non-coding RNA, 68579 nt
Filed under: Prunus persica (peach)
Lineage: Eukaryota; Viridiplantae; Streptophyta; Magnoliopsida; Rosales; Rosaceae
Description: long non-coding RNA (PPER_LNC006608)
Source: RNAcentral
UUUUUUUUUUUUUUUUUUUUUUUCCAGGAGUGCGAAUCCUUGUAUUUGGCUAGGUCAUUUUCUGGAAGGUGUUUUACAUCUAAAGAUUAUAAUUUGAUAUGUAUGGUAUAAAGCUUGUACGGAUAUUCUUUGUAAGAUUUUCGUUUGUUACGAUAAAAUUGGAUUAAAACGAUGAUAAUUAUGAUAAACACCAAAUAUGUAAGGUUUUCGAGGAUUAUCUUUGACAUUAAGUGUCAUAUUAAGUAUAAUGCACAAUCAGAUACAAACUGCAGCAUAGGUCUCGACAAGAGUACGAAAGACUGGAUCCUCCAGAAGAGCCUUAUCUGGUGGUAGCUGGAUAAGGCCAUUUUUCUCUCCACUAAGAAAUUCCCUUGUGGAAAACAAAAGAAAUUAAGGUCUAACUUGGGAUUGCUAUCAUUUAAAAAAAAAUUUGUUUCUCCUGUGAUUUGAAAAUAAUCAACUGUAAAGUAGUUCUAUGUUUAGUAAACAAUAUUUUUUUAAGUGUUGUUAGUAUAAAAAGCAAUGUCAAAACCAUUUAGUAAAUUUUAAUAUAAAACUAGUGUAACUGUGGAUAAUGGCUAAAAUUGACAUGAUGUUGAAAGUGUUAUGUACUAACCAUGUGGUGGUGGGAGAGGGGGGUAUUGGUGGUGGUGAUGGUAGUGGUGGAGGUGGUGGAGGUGAAAAUAAAGGUGAAGGUUGGUGGUGGUGAUGAAGGUAGAGGUGAGGUGGUGGUGGAGGUCGUGGAGGUGAUGGUGAUGGUGAUGGUAGACGUCAUUUUAGAAAUUAAUGAUGACAUUAUGGGAAUUGAAAAAAAAUAAAUUAAAGGUUCUUAUCUGCUUCUUGUGAAAGCAGUAUUGAAAAGUAACCUAGAUGCUACUUGUAAAAGCUGCUGUCAGAAGGUCAUUACUUUUAAAAUAAUCAUAAUAUUUUAUUUGACCAAACACCUUAAAGUGCUUAACUUUAAAUUGAAGCAUAUUUUUGGCCAAAAAGGCAAUCCCAAAAAUGUAGGAUGAUACCCUAAACCUCAAGAAAUCAUUCAUCCUUCAAGAUGGAGUUUACAGAAACUCAAGUAAUGCAUGCCAAGUGUUAUGUGGUAAGGUUUCUACCUUCUCUUUUCCCAUAUGAAAUUUGUCAGGUUUGACAUUAUUUUUUCCACACUUUUGGUUUAGAUGAAUUUUAAUAGUAUCCAUGUUACACAUAUUGGUGAAAACAAUGAAGUUUUUUUCAUUUUUGGGAUUCUUUCUAUACGUGUGUGUUGGUAAUUUUUAACAACAAUAUUAAAACUUUGCAAGUGCACAAAUCAAAUAAUAAUAUAGUAAGCAAGCAAGGGUCAUUCUCAUAGAGAUUGUAAUCUAAAGAGAUGUUUAUCAAUGUCAUGCAACGAAAAUUAAAACACAAGGACUUCCACACACACACCAACACCAAGGGGGGUUUUGAUUUGAUUUUGUGAAUAAAACAAAACAGAAUUUAAAUUAGAGUUUAAGAGAAACUGGUUUAAAAUCAAUCAAGAACAAUAGCUAGGACUUACUAUCCACUUCCAAACAAUCAAUCAAUCUAUAAACAACAAUAGAUAAUCAAUUUCUAGCAAGCAUAUGAUGACGAUACUCACAACAAGAUCAUGGCAUUUGACUCGAGUUGUAUGAUUCCCUCUUAAGUGUAUGUAAAGUGUAUGGCAUUUACAUAAAUACGUGUAUUCUUAAUUAAAAUCUAGUAUGACAUUUACUCAAAUUAACAAUCAAGAAUCCAUUAAGAUCAAAGAGAAUAUGAGUGUCACAAAAACCCUAAAACAUGGCAUUUGUUAUUAGGAAUUCAAGAAUCGAUUUCUCAUAACUAGUUCUUGACCCAAUUAUUCGUUGCAAACAAGAACACAUUGAAUAUGGCAAUUGACCUAUGUUCUACAAUAAUUUAAUUUCAAUACAUGCUUCCAAGUUAGCUACUCAAAGAAACAAAAUAUCAGAAUUCACAUAACAUAGAGAAACCGAAAUCAUCACGCUUGUAGAAACUGAAAAUCCAUUCAAACUAGUUUAUAAAAUUGAAAUCAUGUUUAGGGCUUCAAGAUUAAGCCCUAAAUAACAAGAAAUUAGUUACUCAUGUUCUUGGAUGAACUCAAAAAAUAAAUACAUAAGAACUGAAAAUUAAAAGAAGGAAGGAAAAUAAAGAACUCAUUGGCAGCUUUUUCCUCUUGCGUGGUUGAUCUCCUUAGGACGUGAAUCCUUUGUAUGGGGGGCCUUGGCCGGCCUUUUAUAUUACUUAUAUCAGAGGUCUAAAUCCUAAUAUUGCUGAAAAGUCGUCCAAGAAGUCUUGGUAAACAAGGAAUCCAAAUAGGAAAGUAAAAAUCAAAAUUCCUAACUCCACAGGGAAAUACAGCUCAGCCCAAUUGUCACAUGAUUUGGAGAUCUUUGGCCUUCUAGAAAAAUCAGUAAAAAUAUAUUGUAGAAAGGUAAAUGUCUUAUCUUUCCAACCAUAUAUAGCACGUAACUUCAAAAAUUCUAAAAGGCUUCCAUUUCUUCACAUUCACGUAACAUGUACGAAACUGUCCUGUAUGCACGUGGGCUAAAUUUACUGGUAAUACUGUACCAAUUGGCUUGGUAGACAAUUCUAGAAAAAUCAUAGAUUGAACUUUAAGAUGUUAACUUUCAUCUCCAAUUGGCCUUGUGCUAAAAUUCCUCUGAAAAGUUGAUUUUCCCUUAAAAACCUUCUAAGAGCGCAGAAAAGCUGAAAAUCAGAAAAGUAAAGUAAUAAGCCAUUUUUAAAUCUAAUUCUCCUACAAAACCUAAGUAAAAAGAGGACAUAAAUGAGUAUAUUUAUGGACUUAUCAGUGUGAGUAUUUAUAACAGACGAUUCCUAAAUUUGUGAAAUCAAAUGAUAUUUGGUUCUCUGAAAAGUCAUGGCAUGUUGAGCUUACAACUUAGAAUGGUGCACCUAGAGAUAAGAAUUAAGUUUAUUUUGAAAUUUUGUUCUUCUGUUAAACUACCAAGGUUAAGUCUUUACCCAUUAAUUUUAACAGGCAAUUUCUUUUCUUAGACUAAAUUUUUCAUCUGAAAAUAGAGAACAGUUGUUGCGAAAGCGUUUGAAUUGUUUCUGGAGGUUAUUGAUGGAUGAUCCGGGUCGGGUUGAUGGAUGUUAUGUAUCUAGAUUACUUAUUUCAAAGUUUCUUGUUGAGCUACAUCAGUAAUUGUAGUUUCCGAGUCCAACAGCAAAAUCAUCAUGUGUUUGCUAGUUCCAUUUGAUGAAGUUUGUGUUCGAAAACAAUUAUAAUAUAACCAAAUAACAGAACAAUAACAAACGAAAUAUGCUUUAUAUACAGGGACGGUCCUUAGAAGGGAUUAACUCGAGCUAUAGCCCAAGUGAGUUGUUAUUUUAUCAACUUUAAAUUUAAUUUUGCCUACUCAUGCCUACUAAUGACAAGCAUGCCACGUUUACAUCCAAAAAGACUCACAAAUUCAUCACUCAUCCAACAAUACAGGAAAAGAAGAUGAGACAAACUAACGAAUUGAAUUCUCUUUGACUAUCCCAGGACAUUAUUGUGUAGGACAUUUCUGUAAAGUUCUCUCUAAAAUGAGAAGUCUAUCCGUCUUGCUAUUACUUUUUUAGCCUACUGCCAACUUCUUUAUAUAUAUUAUGAACAGUCUAUUGCUAAUUUUCCUUUCACUGAUUUCACAUAUUAUCCCUUUAAGUGAAAAAAUUAAAUAAAUAAAUAAACGAAUUGGUACGUUGCAGUAGCUGCACCUUUAUAUUCCACCCUUUAGUGCGUAUAUAACGUAAAUUUAGCCCACCCCAUUUUAAAAUCCUAGAUCCAUCCCUAUUUAUAUAUAUAAUCAAAUCAAUACAACAAUAGAAUAAAUUACAGAAUACUGAUUUGGAUAGAUGAUAGAGUCCUGCAGACUUGCAGUGUCCUUUAGAAAAUAUUUCUUCUCUACUCUUGUGUUUGUAAUUCAAUAGGAAGACCACCAGGAUUAAACUAUCACAAAUCCAAGCCUAAGCAUUGUGGCACUGAUUUCUGGCGAACAAUAAUAUGAUUUCUCUCAGGAAGUGCUUAUGUGUGAGAAUGAUAAUGCUGUUUCAAAUUGUGUGUUUUAUAAUUUGGACGAAAAAGCUAAUCCUCGCAAAAGAGACUGAAUCUAACAACAUAGCAGUCUUUAUUUUCAUUUUUAAUUCUUUUUUAGAAGAACAAUAGCGCAGAGUCUGAUCAAGUAUGAUUGAGUGAUCCUAGCCAAACGUUUGAAAUACAAAUUAUGACAUGUCAAUCUAUCCAUUGUAUAAAAAUAAUAAUAAUAUAUAUUAUUGAAUAAACAUAUAACAUGUCAAUCUAUCCCAUUCAUAUUACUGAAUAACAAUAAUAUAUAUUUAAAAAUGUAAAUAAUUUAUAUUAAAAAUAAUAAUAUAAUGGCCGAGCAUUCAAGUUGUAAUUUGUCAAAAUUUUACUGAAUAAAAUACCUACGUAUUUUAUUCAUAUUUUUCCCAUUCUGUUUUUUUACUAACAAUGAAUGAACGUACAGCCGUGCGGCUAUACUUGAUUUUUUUCACCUAUACUCAUUGCUUUUUAAUUUUAUUUAAAAAAUAGUGCAACCGCGCUGCUAUACUUGGUUUUGUUCUUUUUUUCUUUUUAAAAAAAUAGUCUAGCCGAGCGGCUAUACUCAUUUGUUUCUUUAUUUAAAAAAAAAAAUAGUAUAGCCGUGCGACUUUACUGUUUUUAAUAAGUGCACCCUAGGCGGUAGGCGAGUCCUUUUUGUAAUAUAGUGUAGUUGCGCGGUUAUACCCUAUUUUUUAAAUUUUUGUUUAGUAUAGCCACGCGAAUAUACUAGGUUUUAUUAAUGUUUCUUAAAAAAUAAUAUAGUCGCGCAACUAUAAUGUAUUAUACACGUAUGUACGUAUUUUCUAAUAAUACAUCCGUGUUCUGCAUACGUCUUAAAGACUUGGUAAAGUUCACAUUUUAAAAAAAGCAAAAGUACAAUACUCUUAUUAUACAGGUAUGUAAGUAUUUUGCAUGUUUAAUACACGUAUUUUUUACAAAAAUUUCAAUAAGACACACAAAAUUCACGUAUUAUACACAAAAUUCUCACAUAUUAUUGAAUAAAAAUAAUAUAGCGAUCGAACAUUUAAGUUGUAAUUUGAAAAAUUUUGCCGAAUAAAACACAUACAUAUUUUAUUCGUAUUUUUAAUGUUCCGUAUUUUACUAACAAUGAAUGAAUGUUCAGGCACGCAGCUAUACUUGCUUUUUUCACCUACACUCGUUGUUUUUUAAUUUAUUUAAAAGGCUAUACUUGGUUUUUUAUAAUUUAUUUUUAAAAAAUCGCACCGCCGCACUGCUAUACUCGUUUUCCCUAAUUUUUUAAAAUCGUAUAGCCACACAGCUUUACUAUUGCUGACACGUGGCACCUAGGCGCUAGUCAGGUCCUUUUUGUAAUAUAUAAAAAUCGUAUAGCUAAGCGGCUAUACCCCUUUUUUUAAUUUAAAAAAUGGUAUAGUCGGCUGGCUGUACUCGGUUUUAUUAAUGUUUUUAAAAAAAAUAGUAUAGCCGCGCGGGUAUACUUAUUUUGACAAUUGGGCAACUAAUUCCUGUGUGGGUCCUCAUUUGUUGUUUUAUAAAUAGUAUACCAUGCGGCUAUACUCGAUUUUUUUAAUUUUUUAAAAAAAUAGUAGAGCCGGUCUGCUAUACUCGGGGUUUUCCUAAAUUUUUUUUAAGAAAUAGUAUAGCCGCGUGGCUAUACCGGAUUUUUAUUUUUAAAAAAAAAUAAUAUAGACGGGCAGCUAUACGCGGUUUAAUUAAUAUUUCUUAAAAAAAAAUAUUAUAGCCGCUCGGCAAUACUAAUUUUGACACGUGGGGGCCUAAUCGCUGUGCAGGUCAUGUUUUGUUUUUUAUUAUUUAUAAAUAGUAUAGCCGCGCAGAGACUUUGUUGAAGACUUCAAUUCAACAGAAAUUGGCUUGAGACUUUGUUGCAUGUUGGGAGAUAUAUUCACUGUGCUGCCUUCUAUUCGUCAAAACAUUGUAUUGGCCAGUCUGUUUUCCCAAACUGAUGACAAAAUGUUUCCACAAAACUUAUAAAUUGGACGUUGAAAUGAGUGACCUAUGGGGCAAGGGUCCAAAUCUGUAUGCUACCCCACACAUCAAAUGAUAAUGAGGUAAAGUUGGAACUUUGUAGCACAUGACAUUGGCUUUAUGUUCUAACUAGUUGUAUCUUUUUUUCAAUUUCUCAAACUAAUAUUUGAUAUAUUGGUGCAAUUUUCCAGUUUUUGAGUUUCUGAGUGCUGCAUAUUCCAACUAACAAGCUGGUCUGAUUUUCAUUCAGUUGGAAGAAACACGAGUACCUUUCAGAAAAUCCUAAUCCUAAUUCCAAUUCCAAUAUGUUGGUACAGAAGUUCCUCAAUGGGCUCAAGGUUAUUGACAACAAGGUCAAAGAAUCAGAAUUGAAAGACGUAUCAACUUCCAAGGCUUCCGCUUCCGUUUUCGUUUCCAAGGACGACGCUUCCGCUUCCAAGGGCUACGCUUUCAUUUUCACUUCCAAGGACGACCCUUCCGCUUCCAAGGACGAUGCUUUCAUUUCCAAGAAAGCCUAGAAAGAACGUUUCUUGAAACAUUUUUUCAUGAAAGAAGUAGAUCUAGAGCCAGAGGACCAAGCUUUCAUGGAAUUUCUCAGAAGAAGUCAUUCUAAAUGACCAAUUUGUCGUGGAAUUAGAAAGUGACCGCCUCCUCACUGAAAUCUUGGAGGUAAUCAACGAUAUUACUGCAGUGACAGAGAAAUCUAAUGUGUCUUUUGUGGUUCGACCCAAGAAGAAAAAGAUUGUACAAAAGUUCCUUAAUGGGUUCAAGGUUAUUGACAGUAAGGUUAAAAAAUCAGAACUGAAAGAAGCAUCAGCUUCCAAGGCUUCCGCUUCCGCUUCUGCUUUUGAGAAAGCCGAGAAAGAACGUUUCUUGAAACAUUUUUAUAAGAAAGAAGUGGAUCCAGAGCCAUAGGACUAAGACGUCGAUCAAGAGCCAGAAGACCAAGCUUUCAUGGAACCACUUUUACAGGAAGAAGUCGAGCAAGAUGACCAAUUUGCUGUGGAAUUAGAAAGGACCGCCUCCUCAUUGAAAUAUUGUGGGUAAUCGACGAUUUUACUGCAAUCUUGGAGAUAAUCAACGAUCUUACUGUAGUGACAAAGAAAUCUAAUGUGUCUUUUGUGGUUCUAUCCAAGAAGAAAAAGAAUUUGGACACCAUCAAAACAUUGGAUUGGCAGGUUUGUUUUCUUAAUUUGAUUACGAAUUGUUUCCAAAAACCAUAUGAAUUGGACGUCGAAAUGAGUGACCUAUGGGGCAAGGGUCCAAAUCCGUAUGCUACCCUACACAGCAAAUGAUAAUGAGGUAAAGUUGAAACUUUGUAGCAUAUGACAUUGGCUUUAUGUUCAAACUAGUUCUACCUUUUUUUCUCUUUCUCAAACUAAUAUUUGAUAUAUUUGUGCCAUUUUUCAGUUUUUAAGUUUUUGACUGCUACAUAUUCCAACUAACAAGCUAGUCUGAUUUUAAUUUGGCUAGAAGAAAUACGAGUAACUUUCAGAAAAUCCUAAUUCCAAUUCCAAUGGGUUGGUAUAGAAGUUCCUCAAUAGGCUGAAGCUUAUUGACAACAAGGUAAGAGAAUCAAAACUGAAAGACGCAUUAACUUCCAAGGACGACGCUUCCACUUCCGCUUCCAUGGACGACGCUUUCGUUUCCUCUUCCAAGGACGAACCUUCCGCUUCCAAGAAAGUUGAGAAAGAAUGUUUCUUAAAACUUUUUUCAAGAAAGAUGUGGAUCCAGAGCCAGAGGACCAAGACGUCGAUCCAUAGCCAGAGGACCAAGCUUUCAAAGAACCACUUUCCAGGAAGAAGUCGGGCCAGAGGACCAAUUCCUCGUGGAAUUAGAAAGGGGCUGCCUCCUCAUUGAAAUCUUGGAGGUAACCAACGAUCUUAUUGCAAUCUUGGAGGUAAUCAACGAAUUUAUUGCAGUGACAAAGAAAUCUGAUAUAUCUUUUUUGGUUCGACCCAAAAAGAAAAAGAUUUUGGACGCCGUUAAAAUAUUCUAUUUGCAAGUUUGUUUUCUCAAAUUGAUGUCGAAUUGUUUUCAGAAAACUUAUGAAUUGGACGUCGAAAUGAGUGACCUAUAAGGGCAAGGUCCAAAUCCGUAUCCUACCCCAUACAGCAAAUCAUAAUGAGGUAAAGUUGGAACUUUGUAGCACAUGACAUUCGUUUUACAUUCUAACUAGUUCUAUCAUUUUUCUCUUUCUCAAACUAAUAUUUGAAAUAUUAGCUCAAUUGCCCACGAAGAGAAUUGGCUAGCUUCUUCCAAAGCCAACCCACCCCCCACGUGUUCGAAUGACCGACAAUUCGCUAGCUUCUUCAUCAACUCUGUCGAAAGCCAUCCUUGACAUACUCAUGCAUUGAGAAGGUUUGGUAGCCGUACUCCCAACGCAAAAGCAUAACCGAGGACAAUCCUAAGCUAAAGUUCACCCGAAGCCGACCCAUCGUCACCACGUGUUCAUGUAGCCGACAAUUGGCUAGCUUCUUCAUUAACUCCGCCGAAAGCCAUCCUCGACAUACCUUACAUUGAAAAGGUUUGGUGGCUGUACUCCCAACACAAAAGCAUAACCGAGGACAACUCCAAGCUAAAAUAAACCCGAAGCCAACCCAUCGUCACCCACUCCCGCCUCGUGUGGUGUGGAGGUGAUUGGAUAGUUACGGAUUGAGGACUUGCCAAGGACCAAAAUGUGUCAUUUGUAAGAAAUUUUUCAAAAAGUUUUUAAAAAUCUUAUGGGUUUGCAACGCAUAAGAGCAUCACUUUCAAAGCGUGCCAUUUUUCAGUUUUUGAGUGCUGCAUAUUCCAACUAACAAUCUGGUCUGAUUUUCAUUGGCUGGAAGAAACACAAGUAGCUUUCAAAAAAUCCUAAGUCCAAUUCCAGUAGGUGGGUACAAAAGUUCCUCAAUUGGCUCAAGAUUAUUGACAACAAGGUUAGAGAAUCAGAACUGAAAGAUGCUUCAUCUUCCAAGGCUUCCGCUUCCACUUCUAAGGACGACGCUUUCGUUUCUGCUUCUAAGGACGACGCUUCAGCUUCCAAGAAAGCCGAGAAAGAAUGUUUCUUGAAACAUUUUUUCAAGAAUGAAGUUGAUCCAUAGCCGGAGGACCAAGACAUCGAUCCAGUGCCCAAAGACCAAGCUUUCAUGGAACCACUUUUCCUGGAAGAAGUCGAGUCAGAAGACCAAUUUUCGGUGGAAUUAGAUUGGGACCGCCUCCUCACUAAAAUCUUGGAAGUAAUCAACGAUCUUACUUCAAUAUAGAGUUAAUCAAUGAUCUUACUGCAAUUAAAGGGAAAUCUGAUGUGUCUUUUGUGGUUCGACCUGAAAAGAAAAAGAUUUUGGAUGCCAUCAAAACAUUGGAUUGGCAUGUUUGUUUUCUCAAACUGAUGACAAAUUGUUUCCAGAAAACUUAUGAAUUGGACGUCAAAAUGAGUGACCUAUGGGGCAAGGUUCCAAAUUCGUAUGCUACCUCACACGGCUAAUGAUAAUGAGGUAAAGUUGGAACUUUGUAGCAUAUGACAUUGGCUUUAUGUUCAAACUAGUUCUGUCUUGUUUUCUCUUUCUCAAACUAAUAUUUGAUAUAUUUGUGUCAUUUUUCAGUUUUUGAGUUUUUUAGUGCUGCAUAUUCCAAUUAACAAGCUGGUCUGAUUUUCAUUCGGCUAGAAGAAACACGAGUAGUUUUUAGAAAAUCCUAAUUCCAAUUCCAAUGGGUUGGUACAAAAGGUCCUUAAUGGGCUCAAGGUUAUUGACAGCAAGAUCAGAGAAUCAGAAAUGAAAGACACAUCAGCUUCCAAGGAUGACGCUUCCGCUUCCUCUUCGAAAGACAACGCUUCCGCUUCCAUCGACGACGGUUUCGCUGCCGCUUCUAAGGACGACCCUUUCUCUUCCAUUGACGACGUUUUCGAUUCUAAGAAAGUCGAGAAAGAACGUUUCUUGAAACAUUUUUUCAAGAAAUAAGUGGAUCCAGAGCCAGAGGACCAAGACGUGGAUCCAGAGCCCGAGGACCAACCUUUCAUGGAACCACUUUUCCAGGGAGAAGUCGAGCCAGAUGACCAAUUUACCAUGGAAUUGGAAAGGGACCGUCUCCUCACUAAAAUCUUGAAGGUAAUCAACGAUCUUACUGCAAUCUUGGAGGUAAUUAACGAUCUUACUGCAAUGACUGAGAAAUCUGAUGUGUCUUUUGUGGUUCGACCCAUGAAGAAAAAGAUUUUGGAUGUCGUCAAAACAUUAGAUUGGCAGGUUUGUUUUCUCAAACUAAUGACGAAUUUUUUCCAGAAAACUUAUGAAUUGGACGUCGAAAUGAGUGACCUACGGGGCAAGGGUCCAAAUCUUUAUGCUACCCCACACAGCAAAUGAUAAUGAGGUAAAGUUGGAACUUUGUAGCAUAUGACAUUGGCUUUAUGUUCUAAUUAGUCCAAUCUUUUUUUCUCUUUCUCCAACUAAUAUUUGAUAUAUUUGUGCCAUUUUCUAGUUUUUGAGUUUUUGAGUGCUGCAUAUUUCAACUAACAAGCUGGUCUGCAUAUUCCAACUAACAAGCUGGUCUGAUUUUCAUUCGGUUGGAAGAAACACAAGUAGCUUAAGGUUCUUGCUUGAAGUGGAUGCUUUUGGAUGUGUAAUAUCCACAAACACAAGAGCAAUGGAUACAUAACCAAAGCUGGCCAAUAUUCUCUAUGUCAUUUGAUUUUUUGUAUAUUGUAGCAACAUUAUCAGGAUUAGUAGUUUUCCAAGACUAUCAAACAGGAUUUGGUGUCAUAGGAUUUUUUGUAUAUUGCAACAACAUUAUCAGGAUUAGUAGUUAUCGAGAACUAUCAUACAGGUUUUGGUGUAGUAACCUGAUCCUAAAUUAUUAUUUAAUUAUUUAAUUAUUCAAUUAAAAGACGAUUUUACCCCGAUAAUAAUUUAAUGGUUAAAAGUUGACUUUUUAUUUGGAAAAGAAUUUGGCAAUUUUACUAACUGUUGUGUAGAACAUGUCCAGAUGAGUCCGUAGACAUGUAGUGAGCUCAAAUCGGAGUUAUAACGAAGAAUGUAUGAUCUACAGCAGCCCAAUGGCAUAACCGUAAAUAUUUUGAAGUUAGUUUUUUUUUUAAAACCCAGAAUUUCUUCUCUCUCUCUCUCCCUCCCAUCGGCGACACCCCUCUCUCCCCCAAAAACAGCACCGAUUGGAUUUUUCAUCACCGCCGCCAUCUUCGGACACCAACUUGACGGAAUUGGUACCAAAAGAACCAGCUCAACCUCCUCUUCCUAACCCCACCCAACCUCCGAUAGAACCGCCUCCUGUGGUCACCGAAAAAAGCAAAAAUAUGGCCGGUUUUGACCCAAACUUCCCAAAACUCGUUCUGGCGAUUCCGGCCACCAAUUUCUUCGAUCUAGGUAUGCUGUUUCAUGCUCUCAAUGUGUUUUAGCUGAUGGUUGGUUGUUUGGGAUCAAUUUAUGUAUUUUCAAAUUGAAAUUAUCGCUUAAAGUUUGGCCGAUUUUCGGCUCGUGAUUUCGGUAAGUUCCGGUACUUUUUGGCCAUGGUCCAAGAACAAAAGUUGUUUCACUCAUUGUUAUGAUCAUGUAGGUAUAGGUCUGGACCGGCGAUUUGGAGAUUUUUGAUCACCAGAAUUACUCUAGGCACCCACUCGUAUGGCGAGGCGUGGGCCACUUUAUGGCGAGCCUUUGGGUCAUAAAAUGUUCCUCAUCUCGUCCUGAGCACGACGGUAUGUUUCGAUGUGAAUUUGGUUAUCGUUUGGUUGUCGAUUGGAUAUCGCAUAUUAGGCGUUAUUCGGGUUCGAUAUGUUCGGAUCGUUGGAUUGACUCCAUUUCUAUAUGUUGAUCUGGGCAUCCCUAAGAUUGUGUAGGAAUUUGCGGAUCGUGAAUUGGAGUCCUGGAUACUUUGAUUCAAUGAUUCAAAGAUUAGGUUAAAUAACGACCGUCUAAUCGUGCGAUUGAGAGCUAUCCGACCGCUCGAUCAAGACCAAACUUACAGAACGUGUUUAGUAGACUUGGUUGAACCUGUAGAAACUUUCGGAUCGAAAAUCGGAGGUCUUGGGCCCGCGGGCCCCGUUGACCAAUAUGGGAAAUUUGAUCCCUCGGUUGACUGAGAGUCUUCCGAGGUAGUUUCAUCCUUCGAGAAGUACUAGAACGAUCUUAUAAACGAGGCUUGAUUGUUAGGUGAAGUAUUUUGAUUAUGUUUAGAUUAUGAGAUUAUAUUUUAGUAUUUUAUGGUAUUCUUGGGUAUUAUUCUUGAUAUUUGAAAGUUAUGCAAUAUUGGAAGUUAUGGGAUCUCUCGGGAUUAUUGUUUAGUAUUAUUUAUUAUUAUUAUUUUGAUUAUUAAUAAAGUGUAUGACUGAAUGAUAUUGGGUUUUUUAUUUUAUAUGAAAGCCUAUUGCUGUAAUUGUGGAAUAUAGUAUUUUAUGAAAAUUAUAUAUAAACAAGUGUUGUUUAUUAUUUAAAUUACUUUGGGGUCUUGACAGGUUUACAAGAUUAUAUUAUGAGAUUAUUGGACUUUAAUUUGAUAUUGAGGUUUGUGAAUAGUUUUGGAUCUUUAUGAACUUUAUGCUGGAGAAUGGAUUUUGGCUACCCAUGUAAGAACUGAUUUUUUUGGGAAGUCGAGAAAAGAUUUGGAAAAUGGAUUUUUGGAAUAAGGGAAAUUUUAUGAUAAGUUUCGGAAUAUGGUUUUCAAACCCACCAUAAGAGUAUCCCCCAGUUGCCUUUGGAAAAGUUUAGUCAUUUAUGAUAAUGCCCCACAAGUCUCGAGGACACCUGAACCUUGUGGUGCGAUGAUAUGCAUUUUCGGGCUGACUACAUGACCCCCGAGUUCUGUGAGGAAGUGCGUUCUCAGGCUAACUACGUGUCCCCCGAGUUCUGCGAGGAUAUCCGAUCUCGAGUUGACUAUAUGUCCCCCGAGUUCUGUGAGGAUGUAACAGACAGGGUACUUGGAAUUGACGGGUUAUGAAUGGGGGUACACCUAGGUGGACAGUAUUUGAGUUUUGAGAUGUUUUAAACUAAAAUUGAUGAUUUUAUCUUCGUACUUAUUGGUGAAGGUUUUAAUACAUGUUUUUCGAUUUAUGAGACAAGGAUUGAAGUUUUCUAAGUUUUAAAGAUUUUAUAUAAUUCACAAUUAUUUUCUUAAGUGAUGAAUUUGUUUUUACAUGUGAAAGAGGGAAACAUGUUUUAUUUAAAUUGUUGAUAUUGACAUUAAGGUUUCACGUGGUCAAUGUUAUUUUAAUAAUUUUCUCGUUUUCCUACUUAUCAAUAAUAAGUUAAUUAUAUAUAUAUACAAGUUAUUUAUUUAUUUAUGCACAUGUGGGAUGAGUGGAAGAUUGUUCUAACAUCAAUAGCCCUUGAUUGAGUUUCAGCGGAUUGAUUCGAAUUACUUAUGAAGGUUUUUCGAUUUUAUUUGAUUAAGUUGCCUAUGUUUACUUAUAUUUUUUGUAAAAAGAACCACGUGUGGCUUGAUCCCUUGGUAAGGGUACAUAGGCAACCUAGAGUUACUAGGUACAUCCACAUAAGCAAGUGCUGAAAAUUUGCUCAGUUAGGUCAUAUUGGCAAUUGAUAAUGUAUCCAUGUCGUUCUAAGAGUUGAAAUCAGAUUCAAAUGGUUGAAUGAUUUAUGUGGUAUAAUGAGGUCUAAGGCCAUUUAGAUUUAUUUGUCUGAUGCUUGCUGAACGAUUGAGAUUUGAUUUUCAACUUUAACUACAUUAUUUUUUACAGGUAAAAUUUUUGGGAAAUGUCCGUUUUUCAGAGGAGACUCUGCAUGUUUUCUGGCAUAAGUUAAACCCUUGAGGGUGUUUUUGUUUUGUGGUUCAGGGUAAGAGGGGUAGUUUGGACAAUUGUGCCUGACACCUGCUAGGUGUUAAAUACACACAGGGUUUGACACAGAUUCCAAAGUGGAAUUUGGGCCGGGUCCUAUCAUUUGGGAUCAACCUAGGGGAAACAGGAUUACAAGAUAGAGAAGCAGUGAGUGUAGAGUUUGAAAUAUUACAAAUAGAUGCUGAUAUGAUACAUUUUUGUGAUCGUCUUAAAAUUUCCUUAUGUUUUAAAUGAUUUUUCAGAUAUUUGCAGCUAUAGCAAGCAAAUAAUAAUCUCACUUCUUUUGGAACAUAUAAACUAUAAUGCAAGACCGGACUAAAAUUUUAUUAAUAUAUAUAAUAUCCUGGCCAGUCCAAAGGGUAGUACAAUGGUAGAAAGGAAGGACUUGAUUACAUGGCCCAAUUUAUUGCCAUCCCAUGAACACAUAUAUAGCCCGACACAGCUUUAUAGAAAUUAUUAGCAUGGAGGCAUUCCUGGUGGCGGAGCUAAAAUUUGGGCUCCUAGACCCUUUCCAUUUUUCACAAUGAACGUCACGUCCAUGCCCCAUGACAUAUGCCGAUCCAGAUGGCAGUGCAUAAACCAAACUCCUGUGAUCAACCAAAAAGUCAUUGACAUCACAUGAUCAGCAUCAUCCAUCAUCAUUCAUUAUAACUUGAUUAAUUCAGAAGUUAACCAAACGAGAGGAAAGUUACCAGGAUUGUCUGCCUUGAAUCUAACGGCAGUCCAGCCAUUUACAGGGACAGCGAUGGUGUUUUGAAGAGGAGGGUCAACAAGAUUAUAUUUCAAAGGGUCCUUAUCCUCGUCAAAAUUCCCAAGUCCCCAUCCAACAACAUAGAAACUGAAUCCAUGGAGAUGCAUUGGGUGGUCAUCCCCUGCAACCAAAUUUGUCCCCUGAAACACAAUCUCCACCGUCGAGUUGUAUUCCAGUAUCUUCACUACCGUCCCCUGUUUCGGGGUCUGUAAGUACAAUGGCAAGUCCUGAGCCGUAAAAUUAAACAGAAAAGGUGGGAAAUUCGGAAAUCGAGUUCCAAAUGCCCCAUUGACAUGGUAAUAGUAAGCCUGCAAUAUGUCAAUGCUGGGGUCGACAAAGCUAAUGUUGUUGACGCUAGCGGCCAGACGUGUCCCAUUAGGCCCUGCACAUGAAUUAUUUAGGCAUGGUAGUGUGUUGAUAGAAAGUGUGUAAAACAAUGGAGUUGUUAUGUUGCGCGGCACGUCAACGGGGUGGUUUUUAUCAGCUAGACUUCUGAGACUACCAGUAAAAUGAACCGAUGCUUUGGUGUCGUUAUGGGAAGGAAGAUUAGGCAAGGAAGGGGUUGAAGUUGAGGUAUAAUUUCCAUUGUAUUGUAGUAUGGCGGUGGUGGUUGUGUUGUCAUAAAGAAUCCCAGCCCCACCAACGUAGGCUUUAGCAGCAAUAUAGUAGUGGUUGGGGCUCUGGUCAGCAGUGAACAAGAGGUCAAUGGUUUGGCCGGGUGAUAUUGUGACAUAAUCUGAUGAAAAUGGCUUGGUGUAGCUAGCAUCUGAGCCCACAACCGUGACCUUGUGAUUGGCAAUCGAGAAAAACAGCAUCUCUUGCACAGCUGAAUUGAUUAGCCUUAGCAGGUAGGUCUUCCCAUAAUCAACCAUCAGCUUGAAUGUGUCUGGUUUUGAGCAAGGAUAAAGAUCGCCAGGUUGACCAUUGAUGAGGAAAGCACUGGAAAUGUUAGGGUCCCCUCCACUUUGAAUAGUUUCAUUAUAAAGCUGUCCUAUAUCUUUCUUCCACCACUCCCCUACAAUUUUCAAGUCAAUUUGUUGAACAGGUAUAUAUCCAAUAACAUUAUAUUAUUGUCGAAUUAAUUUUGCAUUACGUACCUAAGAUGAUUGGAAAUUCUGCAUAAGGCUUGGGGAAAGGGUAAGUGUCUCCUUUCUUGGGGUAGAUGACCAUAGCGCCGUGGACGGUGGCUCGAUCCCACUCACUAUGAGCAUGCCACCAUAGGGUGCCUUCCUGUGAGGAAAAUAUGAUAGUUUGGGUAAACCUGCCUCCUGGUUGGAUUGGGCACUGCGUGAUAUAAUCAGGACCGUCCGACCAUGGAUUCCUUGGUUGCUUAGCUCCAUGCCUGAAAUGAAAUCCUUUAAUUAUAUAUCACAAGUCACAAUUACAUAAAAAUAAUAUAUUUAAAUAAAUAAAUAAAAGAAUAUUACCAGUGGAUGGUAAUGUUACGAUUGCCCUUGUUAUAGACAUCGACGAUGAUAGUAUCUCCCGUGCGAGCAUACAGUGUUGGUCCAGGAAACUGGCCGUUUACAGUCAAUAUGUUCUUCGUGCUACAGAGUCUUCUAUAUGGAGUUUCUUCCACCUACAGUGUUUACAAAGAUAUCCUUCAUUAGUUUUGUUUAUUUCAAGCUCUGAAUCAAUCAACAUGAUCAUAUAUACAUAACCAUGGAUGCAUGCAAUUGAUACAUACACACACACAAAUACAAAAUAUUAUACUAAUUACCACAAAAGUGUAACGAGGCCAAGCUUGGCAAUGGAAGAUGCCAACACACAAUAACGUCAAGCCUAAAAGUUGCAAGCUAAUUAAAAUCUUCAUGGCCAACAUGAGUCUUUCUCUUCUAGCUAGUGAUGACAGUACUUGAUCUUUUUUCUAUGACUAGCUAAGCUACAGCUAGCUGAUGCAGUUCAGAUGAGUUCAGGGGGCAUAUUCCAUAAUGCCAUGCCACCUAUAUAUACAUAUACAGAGAGAGAGAGAGAGAGAGAGAGAGAGAGAGAGAGAGAGAGAGAGAGAGAGAAACACGAGGCAACAAACAAUUAGACGUAAUCGAAAAUUUGCUGGCGAAGGUACCCUAAAGCAUUUCAGUCAUUGCAAGUUGUAACUUGCAGAAUUUUGCUUUGAAUUGAAUCUAAGGCUAAUUAGUUUGCUCUGUUGGCUGCUUCUUUAUUGGUAUCAACAUGUUCAGUGAGUGUUACCUAGCUACCAUAUUCGAUGAAUGUUACUCAUCGCUUUUCCUUUCACUCCCUAAUUAUGUUGGAUAUUAUAAUCAUUAUAACAACUAAUUAUGUCGGAUUACCUAGCUACCACUCAAAUAGGGAUACUUAAUCCAACAUAAUUAAGAAAUAGGAAAGACCAAUUUAUAAACAAACUAUCUGAUCAACGGUAGCAGUUAAUUCUUACCUCACCAGAAAAAUUCCAAGAUCCUAUAUUUUAAUGCCUGAUCGUUGAGGCUUGAUUACGGUACGUAACACUUUUAGGAAACCAGUAACAAUCAAUAGAUUUAUUUAUCCUAGUACAUCACAUUGCACAAUUUACUUUGCUUCUACUUUUCUAUUUAUGGUGCUUAAUGGAUAAAAUAUUUAUCCUAGUGCUAGUACCUGAUAACGAAAUUUGAGCAACAACCAAAACCGAACAGUUUGGUUUUAGCCUCUGUAUAAUAUUAAUAGCAUGUGAAUCUUUUUACCAUCCUCUCCCCGGAAGAAAGAAAGAAAGAAAUGUGUGGUAAAUCAGAAAAAAAUACGUAUUAAACAAAAAACACGAUCAUUGAUGGACAUAUUUUAUAUUAUAUAUUUAACCUCAUUCUUAGUAUAUUUUGGUUAAUAUUUUGGAAGAAUUUUGAUACUUUGAAUUAUAUUUCCAAUAUAGGACUUUCGACUCUCUCUGGAGCAAAACAUAAUCAAAUUGAGGAAUUUUGGAGUAAUUCCAGUUGGAGGACGUUCUUGAGUCACUUAGCUUGAUCAUAUCAAAAUUUCAGAUUUUUCUUCCAAGCGGUUAUUUUCUGGUAAUAAAAUAAAGGAGCAGUGCGCGGUGCUAGAAUAGUGACGUGUUGGGCUUUUAUUGCGUUUUUGGAGCCCAAGAUGACCUCGGAUGGGUUCGUGGCCUUCUAGAGAAGUGUUCAGAACAUUUUUAUCUUUAAAACAAGCUAUCUUGGGCCAGAUUUGGAGGAGAUUUGGGGCUAAAACGUGGCUGGGCAGAUUUUGGGCAGAUUCUCCUAUUCCAAUUUGAACUUUAUUUCCUAGUAUUAUUUUAUUUUAAUUAGUUUCCUUGUGGGGAUAGAAAAGCUGUACAUUGGCAGCUAGGUUUUAAGGGGUAUUUAAGCUCUUUCUCACAAGGAAUUGAGGACUCCCUUUUCACUUUUGAACUUUGCAUUGUGGAGAGCAAUUGCUAGGGUUUUGGGUUUUCACAACUUUCAGGUGUUUUCGUUCUUUUCUUCUUAAUGAUAUUUUCUUGGAUUUCAAUUAUGAGUAUGCGUAACUAAAUUUCUUUUGCUAGGGUGAAGCCUUGAACCUUAGCAUGAAUAUGUGAUUUUUAUUUAAUUGCUUAUGAUGAGUGCAUGCCUACUUGAAUUGUUAAUCAUUGUUUUAAACUAUCUAAUUGUCUUAAUGCCUGAUCACCAUUAGGAUCUUUAGAAAAGUAAUUGGAUGCAAUUUUGGUCGGAAGGUUCCCUGAAAUUGAUGCUACCUUCUUGUGAUUAAUAAUUGUAAUUUCACUUAAGAUGAAUACCACGUCUUAAGGGUUGCAUGGUUUUUCUAAGGGUUUUCACAAAACUUAAUGAAUCUUUCAUGUUCAGAUUUGAUCCGAACGUCCUGACGGGUUGCAUGUUAGAUAUACGUUCUGUGUUGGAGGUUCCAAGUAGAAUAUACAUUAGGAAAACCUAACCUUCAAAGUGGCAUGUGCAAAUCAUAAGUAAUUGGUAAAAGUUCAUAGGAUUGCUAGGUGAUGGUGAAACCCUAGUGCUUUUAUAAAUUGAUAUUCAAAACUCUUUCCUUCAAUCGUAUUUGUUUUUAGAAUCAACCAAAUUCAUAAUCAUCUUUCUUGACCUUUUAUUUUAAGUAGUUAUUUGGAAUUUAUUUUUACAUAAAUUGCUAAUUAGUCCUUGAGGAAAACGACAUUGCAUGAGCAUCUAUACUACAAUAGCCUUGUAUUCUUGCAAGUAUUUUAUGUGAUUUUAACUCUGUUUGCACAAGUACUAAAAAUCCUAUCAAUCAUCACAUCACAUCACAUGUGAUGAGAUAAUGAUAAAGUUCUGGUGCAAUGAAUUCUUCUCAAUUUGGGAUCAAAGACAAACAACAAGAAGGUCAUUGUUGUGGGUUAUUGGGUUAGGUAACCAACCAAAACACACACCACCCCACCACUUUGGUCCAAUGGCUGUGAGAUCAACAUCUUACACAAUAAGGUCAAAGGAACUCACUCCCACCUGGAGGUGGCCGCCGCGUCUCUUGCAUUUUGGUCUUAUAUAUAUCAUUCACAUGUCACAUCCUUGACUUUCAAUUUAACCGUCACACAUUAUAAUAUGUGUGAAUUAAUAACAACAAAAUAUAAUUUAAUUGUCACACGUAUUAUAAUAUGUGUAAAUUAAUAACACAACAUGACUAAGUGACCGUGUCACGUAUGUAAUAUGCCAUGAGUUAAGAAAUGGGGCCUAUUAUAUGACAUAUAUACGGGAACUAUAUAUUAGUUUGAUUUACGGUUCUUUUUCCAGUGUUUUAGAACACACCUAUUUCCUAACACACAGUUGCAUUCAACGGUCAUUGGUUUGUCACUGACUAGCUAGAAAGAGGUUCCUCCGUCCGCUAUGUUUAGUUUAGAAAUUAGAGAGGCCUUCCCAAGCUGAAUCAGUGCAUCGCUUUGCAUAAUCAAAUUUUAGCAUUGUUAAUGUUCACAAAGAAACAAAAAAGAAAGAAAGAGUAACUUAUACAAUAUCGCUCAAACUCCAGUUAUUAUCCCUAACCUAUUUUUCUCAUCCCUUGUAUCCACAUAUAACAUAUUGCGUCUUAAAAUAUACAUGAAGUUAGCGAUGCCUAUGAAUCAAUCUCUUCAAGCUCCACAUGACGUCCACAAUCUGAAACAGAUGAGGACGAAGAUUCGACAUUCUUUCCUUUGCCAUCCGAAGAUGCUGAUGGACCCGUGUCCAUGCUUUCCUUCAGUUUUGGCUUCUGUAAAGUUUGGAGCUGAUUCUGCAGGAUCUGUAGAAGAAAAAUAGUUAUUCAGAAGCAAAGCACAAUAAAAUGGCGGGCAGCGACCACAACAUCACAGCAUAAGUGAUUAUCUUUUCUUCAAAUUAUGUUUCGCAACAAACAAUCAAUAGUACCUCGAUCUGGUGUUGGAGAAAUUUUUUCUGGGCCUCCAGUUGAGAAGCUGUUAUAUUCGGAUCGCCGCCCAACCUCUCCCCAUAGGCCACAUUGGCUCCAGGAACCUCAAAUGGGACAAACAUGUAAUGUGGAAAUUGAGGGGAGGACAAGUUUGAAGGUCCACCAGGAGUUGCAAGCUGUGGGUGCGAUACUCCACUAGAUUCAGUAUUAGCGGAGUCGGUCAUUUGUCUUUGAAACUGAGGAAGUGCCACUGUGCCACAUGUCCAGGAGACCUACAUACAACAGGACAUUCUAUAAGGCUCUUUGCAGCCACAUGUCCAAAGUAUAUACACAUGCACACUCUAACAGGCAUGCAAAUACCUAAAACCUAGGAACAAACGAAAAUCCGAAAGGGACAAUAUGAGCACUCAACAAUAUAAAAAGCAAACAGUUCACUAGGAUAAAGGUGCCGUACCAUACUAGUCUGUUUGCAGAUGGAUAUACAUGAGACUUCUCAUAUAUCGAUGCUGCAGCAGCAGCAGCUUGGAGUCUGGCUUCAUGUUGACUGAGAUUAUCACCAGCAACCCCACCACCUUGAGCUGUUGUGCCUGUCCCUAUUCCCAAUUAAAAUCAUAAUCACCUCACCAAAGCUUUAUAAUGAAUGAAUGAACCACCAUGUCUUACUAAAAGUCCCAUUUGAAACCAAAAGAGCGACCAUGAAACAUGGAACAUGAAACCACACCAGUUCUAAAAACUACUAAAGCCACAAAUUGCAGUUUAUUGGUGCCUUCCUUUUUGUCUUCCUUUAGUAAUGACCCUUCGUGUAUGAAGAAAAAGGAAAUGUAUGUUUAAAAGCUACAAAGUUAAGAUCCCCUAACACCAAAUAUCAGCAGGGGUGGCCCUGAGGGUGUGCAAGUGGUGCCACCGCACAGGGCCUCUGAAUUUUUUUAUGUGUAUAAUACAUGUAUAUAUAUUAAUAAAUGUUAUAUUAAGGGCGCAACUUCAAAAUCCGCUUGUGUAGAGCAAAGUUUUAGUUCUUUUUUGGUUUUUUUUGAUAACAACAAUUAAUAAUGAUAAUAAUUAAAAAGGCAAACACGUUAUUUUCUACAAGUAAUAAUCAUCACCAAUAUCUCUCCUUGGCUCUAUUUUUUAAUCCUUUGAUAUUUUUUUUUUCAAUUUCAAGGAUUUCAACACAAAAAAUCGACCAAAAAAAUUGAUAAAUGUCACUCAAAAGCAAAUAGUCAUAUUUAAAUAUGAAUUCAAAUUCAAGUAUGUAACCUAAAUUGCAAUUUAUAUAUACUAAAUGACUUACUUCAUUAUCAUCUUGCACUGUGCACCUAAGUUCGAUUCACGUAAAAGACAAUCUUGAGGCAACCCAAUACAAUACUCCCUCAUUUCCCUCCCUAUCGAAUGACACAAAUAAAAUAAAAAAGUUCAAAUUGCAAAAAGUAGAAUAAAAAUUAUAGUUGAAAAUUUAUUACGUACAGGAUCAGUAAAAUUUCUUUAAAAAACAGAGUCAUAUGCAAAUGUGACCUAGCUAACAGCAAAACCACCAUAAUGACAAUUAGGGUCAAAUUAAAAUUUUGGUUUUUUAUUUAUUUAUGAAACUUAUUGUUUUCGUUGAAAGAUAAAAACAACUCUAUUGUCUAUCAAUCACAUAAUGUUGCAACCAUUCUUUAAAGCAGCUUGUCCAAUGUCAACACCAACAUUCAAUAUCACAGCUACUUUCACAACCACAUAUUGAAAUAAUAAAUACCCGAUCACAAGGAAUUAGUCAGUAAUUAUGUAGGCAAAUGUCAUGCUACCUAUUAUUUAGUUAAAAUUUAGCUAAAAACACACAAAAGUUAUUUUAGGAACUCAUAAAAUUUGAACUCCAAUCAUACUCCCAAAGUUAGGAAGUCAUAAAUACUAUAGUUAUUUUUUAAUUAAGUAUGAUUGGUUAUCAUCUCUAUAAAAAAAAAUAGUUUGUAUUAAUUAAAAGUUUAAAUAUGCAUAAAACGAAACAUCAUUAAAUUAUAAGGAGUCACUAGGAGUUCUUUCUCUCUCUUCAAAUUUAGGAGUUCCUAGAGGUCUCUUUAUUUUAGGAGGUGAAUAGGGAGCAUAGUUGGAGUUCUAUUUUUCCAAUACCUCCCUAAAAUUUGUCUAAGGAGGUGGUUUAGGGACCCCCAUUGUGGAUGCUUUAAGUGUGAGUAAUUAUAGUGUACGUAGUAUGAGAGUAUGUCACAUGGUAUAACUCAUUUGUUAGAAUAUAUAAGUGGAUAUUUAUUGGUAUUAUAUCAUAAAAGUGGGAGAUAUUAACCAUAUCGCUCAUCCAUAUUAUAACACGUGGACGAGUUACAUCAGCCUUGGUACACAGUAAAGCAUACGUAAAUGUGGGUUUUUGGUAAGUUAUUAGACACAAACAAAUUUAAACACUUAAAUCAAUCUCAACCACAUGAUUUCAUUGAAAUACAACGACUAUGCACCUCAUUCCUUAAAUGAUGACACUGGAUCUCUCAACUGCAUGCAUGGCACUAUAUAUAUAUAUAUAUAUAUUCUUCAGCAAAUAUAUUCUAAUUGCCCGAAUAAUAUCUAUAUUCCUAUCUGUAGACAUUGCUUGUCACAUGCAUACGUCCCCAUCAUUGACUUGACGCUAGCUCUUCAAUUACUCAUGUAGAAUUUUUUUUUUUUCAAGUGCCCAUAGAGAUAAGACUUCCAUAUAUAGGCUCACUUCAAUUAAAAAUGUAGUUAGUAAAGUGGUACACGAUUGCUUUUAUAUAUGCUCGGAUAUUUAAUUUUGCAAAAAUAAUGCAUCCAACUAUCUCAACCAAAAAAGUUGCAUCCAAUUAAUGAUGUUCUUAGAGUAUUGAUACAAAAUAAAUUAGGUGUUAAAAAGAUAUUUAUUUUUGCAAAAAUAAUGCAUCCAACUAACUCAACCAAAAAAGUCGCAUCCAAUUAAUGAUGUUUUUGGAAUAUUGAUACAAAAUUAAUUAGGUGUUAAAAAAUAUAUAAUAUCUAAAUCUGAUCUAUUACGACAAAGACUCAUCAUCACAAUCGUGGUGAUUAUUCAAAAGGUGUAACAUCCCUGAUACAAUUUAAUUGAUUUAAUCAAAUUUAAUUCUUUUGUGAAAUUUUAAUUUUGCCCUUGGGAGUAGGGGUACUUUGGUCACUUUAAGAAAAAAAAACAUUUAUUGUAUGGCAUUACGUAAUGGUGUAAGUUUGUGUUAUCUUAUGUGAGGCCCCAGUUUAAGAUUAGCACAGGGCCCUCAAAAUCUCAAAACCGGCCCUGAAUAUCAGACCUUAUGGUUGUCACACAGCAACUAAAAGCUACACACAAACUGCAAACAUCAGAAGUUUACCCUAUUGAUGAGCAUCAGACCGUGAUCCCCUAUGCCCUCCAGAUGUACUUGCCCCAUUUUUUAAGUGUUGUUAGAAUAAAAAGUAAUGUCAAAACCGUUUAGUAAAUUUUAAUAUAAAACUAGUGUAAUUGUGGAUGAUGACUAAAAUGGACAUGAUGUUGAAAGUGUUACGUGCUAACCAUGUGGUGGUGGGAGAUGGGGGUACUGGUGGUGGUGUGGUGGAGGUGGUGGAGGUGAAAAUAAAGGUGAAGGUGGGUGGUGGUGGAGAAGGUGGUGGUGAUGAAGGUGGAGGUGAGGUGGUGGUGAUGGCAUACGUCAUUUUAGAAAUUAAUGAUGGCAUUAUGGGAAUUGAAAAAAAUUCAUUAAAAGCUCUUAUCUGCUUCUUGUGAAAGUAGCGUUGAAAAGCAACCUAGAUGUUGCUUUUAAAAGCUGAUGUCAGAAGGUCAUUGCUUUUAAAAUAAUCAGGAUGUUUUAUUUUGACCAAACAUCUUAAAGUGCUUAACUUUAAAGACUUAUUCAUGUGUUAACUUCAUCGUCAAACUUUUCGUUAAUUGCUUGUGUGGCAAGCUUGAAUCUCACAUAUUCACUUCUUUUUGUGUGUUAGGUUUAAUUAUUUUUUCUAAACAAAUUGAAGUAAAAUUUUAAAUUUUCCGAUAAGAUAUAAUUUCAUUCAAUAUGAUGUAAAUAAAAUUAAUCUGAACCGUAGCGACGGAUAUGAAUUUAUUCGUCACCAUUGAUCAGUGUAAUUGUUACUUACAUAUUUCAAUUUGAAUGAAAUAUGGCCAUACAUUAGAGAGUUGUUGGAGAAUAAUUUUGUACAUUUACAUAAUUUUAAUAACUUCCCCAUUUUAAUAAAUCUCAACCACGCCCUGCCUGGGCUCACCAUUUUAAUAAGUUCCCCAUCUCUUAGGCAGCUUUCCUCUCUCUUCUCUUGACUUUUCUGUCACGGGACCCACUUGGCUAGGUGUAAAAUUAGAUGUACAUUUGCAUUUUUUUCCCAUCUCACACAUUUACAGCCGUAUACACCUCCCUAUUACAGGACAUUUUGACAACCAAAUGUGUGUAUUUGACAUACACCUUCAUAUACACCUUAUCAUUGUGGAUGCUCUUAGAAUGGUUCACCUAAAGAUAAGAAUUAAGUUCUGUAUUAUAUUUUGCUUAUUAAGUUUUAUUUUGAAAUUUUGUUGUCCUGUUAAAGUACCAAGCUUAAGUCUUUACCCAUUAAUUUUAACAGGCAAUUUCUUUUCUUAGACUAAAUUUUUCAUCUGAAAACAGAGAGCAGACGUUGCGAAAGUCCUUGAUUGUUUUUGGAGGUUAUUGAUGGAUGAUCCGGGUCGGGUUGAUGGAUGUUAUGUAUCUUGAUUACUUAUUUCAAAGUUUCUUGAUUGAGCUACAUCAGCAAUUGUAGCUUCCGAGUCCAACAGCAAAAUCAUCAUGUGUUUGCUAGUUCCAUUGAUGAAGUUUGUUAUCCAUCUCUUCCUUUCUGAAUUGUCUUCUAUUGUUUGGAUUUUAAAGUAUGCAUUUAUAUUCUAUGUUGUUCAUCUUCAGCCCUAUCUAUUUUUGUAAUCAGCAUGAACAAUUUUGCUAGAAAAUCUUCUGGUUACUCUCUCUCUCUCUCUCUCGAUGGUGAAUUCUCUUGCAAUCACUUUAGAGCAUUUCUUGUAAAAAUGCCGACGACCAUGACUGAACACCGUUGGAUUAAUCUAACCAUUUCCAAGUAAGAUACAAAUAUGCAGACAGCAUUUUAUAUCUAACCAUGUAAGAUAAAAUAACCCAUAGAAAUAAAUAUUACAUAAGCAAGCAGCAUAUAAUUAAUGGUAAUAUGUGGAUCAUUAUGAUAAACACAAGUUUAACUCAUAUUAUUACCACACUCGCCAACAGAAAGGCUUAUUGGACAUAGCUAGAAAACCACACACCAAUAACUAAAGCAAUUUACAAGCAUAUAUUCAGCCUGAUCUAGAAGAAUUAACAUCACACAAGCCACCGCUGCCUUAUUUACAAUCCCCCUUUACUCGGCAUCAGCGAAUCUGGAAAAAAAAACAAAAAACAUUGGCAUGUUACAAUGUGAGCAACUAUGGAGAAUUAUAGAAGGAAAUCAAUAAAAAGUGAGGUGUUUUUCAUACUCACCCAAGCUCUGAGAGUUUCAAAUGCGCUUCGGCAUAAUCCGCAAAGAAAGCGUCCUCGUCCUAGUCAAAGCAAAAUCACAGCAACCGAAAACGGGAUCAAAUUAACAUCAAGACAUAAAAAGAGUAUAGCUAAGCCAUAAUUUAGUGAUCAUAUUAAGUAUAAAGCACGAUCAGAUACAAACCGCGGCAUAGGUCUCAACAAGAGGACGAAAGACUGGAUCCUCCAGAAGAGCCUUGUCUGAUGGCAGCUGGAUAAGGCCUUCUUUCUCUCCACUAAAAAGUUCCCUGUUUGGGAAACAAAUCAGAUUAACUAUCUAGAAAGUGGUAUAAAUUCAACAGUGUUAUUAUUGAAGAAGAUGAAUAGGUCUUUACUUGAAAUAGGAGUUGUCAAAAAUGAGGGGGUUGGUUGUCCAGGGUCCCUCAAAUCCAGAACGUUCUUUGUGGCACCUACCCUGAAAAAAAAAUUCCCCAAACACACAAUAUUUAAAAUGCUAAACUCUACCAGUAAAUGAAAAAAAUAGAAGAGUUUUGAUGGUCUUGCAUGAACUGACCAAUGUGUGUCCACCGGAUAAUACAACAAUAUCCUUGUCACUAAGACCCAUGUGACCAAAGACAUCCCUCAAAUGAUCCGAACCUAAAAGGAACAACACAAACAAAAAUUAAGCAAAUUCAUCUUACAACCAUACACUAGUUGCAAAAUCUAGCCGCUAACUUACCUUUGGAGCCAUCCGGCAAGCGACCUUCUGGUGGCGGUUCUUGUUUGUCCUGAAAUUAGUACAUGAAUUGAACCAAUGAGUACAAGUUUAAAAUAAGAUCACAUUUUAAAACAAUCUUGCCAUGCCUGCAUUGUUUGAGAGCCGAGAAAGGCACUCUAAACAAUCAAUACCAUCACAUAUUGUAUUGUCAAUGUCAAUAACCUAAAAAACCAGCAAAUCAAUCAAGUUUCAUUAGACCAAGCUCUUUGAUCCUAUAUAAUUUCCAAUUAUUCGACAACACAAGGCUAAUUAUUAUUGUAAAAAAAAGGACAAACAAAUGUGAACUACAUGUGCUAUAGGAAAUAGGUUUUGGGCAUAUAAUAAAGGAAAUCUCGAGACAAUCACAGUAUGACAUGCCUGUAUGAACUUUCAAUUUAUAUAAUUUUAAUGAGUUACUUUUGCGUAUGUUUUAUAUUGUGAUUUGAACGACAAGAAAUGGGCCAGUAAUUGAAAAUAAGCCAAGAAGGCACUUACCGGUCUACCAGGGUGGAAAGGAACAUCAGGCCCCCCUGUAAUUUCCACAGCAACAACUCCGGCCAACUUCAAAACACAAUCAAAUAAAAACUCACAACAUCGAUCUACAAAUUUAAACUAAAAACCAAAACCAAAACCCAAGCCAAAUAUUCUCAACAAAUAUCUAUAUACCUGGUAGAAAUCUGCGUAUGAGAGAAUCGGAAACUUCUCCUUGAUCGGCUCCAAGAGCCUGACCGCAAUAUCCAGGCCAUUGUUUGCUUCAUGAGCAAGCUCCUCCGGGUGCCUUAUGGUCCCGAACGGCCCUCCUGUCUUGCUUUGCACGUCGAAGGUACCAGCCGAAUGCCAUCUGCGAUCAUCACCAAACAUCAAACACAAAGCAAACACCAACCGUUACCAACAGAUGGAGCUCUCAGAUCAUUAAGCAUAUGGCAGAGAGAGUUCUUGAUUCUUACGCUAAUCGGAGAAUUAUAGGAGCGCAGUGCUUUUCAGCGAUGUGUCCUCGGAGCUUUCUCUUGCAUUUAUCCACUGCCUUCUGAUAUUCCUCGCUCACAGUCGGGUAGCAUUUCGCCAUGGCGACAAUUGAUCUGUUCCACCCUCUGUUUGGUUAGUGAGAAAAUUAGUAUAUGAAAUUGAACAGAAGGAAAAGUUUUUUCCUUACGUGAUCGAAGUUGCUAGAAACAGUUGAAGCUUGCUUGAAAUGGUCGAAGUUAUCAGUACAAACUGCAGAGCACAGAAGCAGGGGAAAUUGUAUAUAUAGGAAGCGUAUUCUGUUUCGGGACGAAGGUUCUAGCGCUCUCGUUUUAGUCUUCGGGUGCUAAACGUACGGCUAGGAUCGUGCUUCGUCGGCGAUGUGAGGUUGCGAUGCUGUGUGCUUAUUGAGCGGGAAAUGGGACUUGUAGAGCCACGUGUCAUACGGGGAGUGGGGCAUGGUUGACUUGGCAGGGCUUCUUCUGUUGUUCAAUCCCGUGGGUUGCUACUAGAUGGCUGGUACCGUCGUUUCGAGAAGAAACUUUGGCGUUGUGGUGUAGGUGUAGGGUUUGACUAUAAUUGGAUGGAUCAUUUUAGCGAGUUCUAGAGACCCUUGUAUUUAAUUUCUGACCAAAAAGAAAAGGAGAAACCAUUGUAUCUAUAUAUAUAAAGUAAAAGACAGAGAAUGGUGAAACAUUCAAAAUAUCAGAAAAUGCUCUUGGUUAAUGCAAACAUUAAGAAUUCAAAUUAUUAAUUAAAUGAGGAUAAUAUGGUAAAUUCAUACUUUUUCAUAUUUAAAAAAAUUAAAAGAAAAAAAAAAGCAGAUAAUGAAUUCUAUUUUUAUGGAACACAACUACCCAUUAUAUUUCUAAAAUUGUAAACUAAACCAAUAAAAAUAAAUAGUAAUAGCAGUUUUAUAAUUCUCUUUAAAUGCAAAUGAGAGUUAGGAUAAAUUAUUAGGUAGUACUGUAUUAUCACGUGGCAUUUGUGAGAUGAUAAUACAGAUGAAUAAUAGGAUGAUAUUUGGACGUCAAUUACUAAGUAGAGAAGAACUAACGUUAUAUGUGAAUGGACGUUAAGUCACCCGAAACUCUUCUCACCCCUACUACCAGUUAGAGCAACUCCACCCCUUAGGGCAAAGUCUAAGGCAAGGGCAAGCAAGGGCAAGCAAGGGCUGACACUAUUUACGUGAAUAGUGUCAGCCUUGCCAUUUGUGGUUCCACCCACAAGGGCAAAGUCUAGGGCAAGUCUAGGGCAAUUACUAUUCAUUGUACUUUAUUUCCUAUUUUUUUAAUACUUUAAAUCAUUAAUUUUGAUAAUCUUUUGUAAUUAAAUUUUCGGAUAAGAUUUUCGGAUGUGAAUCUCGGUUGCCACGUGUCUUAUUCCAGAUAAAAUUUUCGGAUAUUCAUUAAUAAAAAUUAUAAUCUCAGAUUUCCGAUAAAAUUUUCACCCUCUAAAAUUGUGCCGCGUGUCCCAUGUCAGAUAAGAUUUUCAGAUAAUUUUAAAAAAUUAUAAUGUCAUAUUUCAGAUAAGAUUUCCACCCUCUAAAAUUGUGCCACGUGUCCCAUGUCUGAUAAGAUUUUCAGAUAUUUUUUUACAAAUAGUGAUCUCAGAUUUCAAAUAAGAUUUUCACCCUCUAAAAUUGUGCCACGUGUCAUCUCUAUCUUCUGAAUCCCUCUAUAUAACUACACCAUCAACACCACUCCUCUCACACCAUCUCUGAUAUAUUCCUUCAUUUCUCAGAUUUUACAAUUUCCCAUUAUACUCUCAAUGUCAAACUUCAGGAGGGUGUUGGAGAGGCAACAGAAAGAAUGGGAAGAAAUCCGGCGUAGACGUGAGGAAGAAGAUCGGGACGCGGAUGAAGAAGAGGAAGAAAUGCUUGAAGUAGCGGCGGUGUGUAUGAUGAAUCAAUCAAGCCAACACCAUCGUCGUCGUGCCCCGAAUGUGGACAGACGCAGAGAGUCUCGGGGUAAGAAUCUCUUGGAGGAUUACUUUAUCCCAAAUUCGUUAUAUCCUGCUCAUAAGUUUCGAGAGAGAUAUAGAAUGCAGCCACAUUUGUUCCAAAAAAUCAUGCAUGAUAUUUGUAAUUACGACACAUACUUCAUUCAAAAGCAUGAUGUUGUUGGAGUUUUGGGUCUUAUCCCGGAGCAAAAACUUACAGCUACUUUGCGGAUGCUUGCUUAUGGGGCAUCUGCAGAGCAGGUGGAUGAGAUUGCAAGGAUGGGAAAAUCUACUAUCCUAGAGUGCUUGGUGAGAUUCUGUGAUGCAGUGGAAAAUUUGUACACGAGGGAGUACCUUCGCAAACCCACUCCGAGGGACCUGCAAAGGCUUCUACAAAAAGGUGAGGCUCGAGGUUUCCCAGGAAUGAUCGGAAGCAUCGAUUGCAUGCAUUGGCAGUGGAAGAAUUGUCCUACUGCGUGGCAAGGAGAGUAUGGGAAUCGGAAGGGCCAAAAAAGUAUCAUUUUGGAGGCCGUAGCUUCAUUCGACACUUGAGUUUGGCAUGCCUUUUUUGGGGUUGCCGGAUCUCAGAAUGACCUCAAUGUCCUUGGUCAAUCCCCGGUGUUCGAUGAGGUAUUGCGAGGUCAUUCCCCUCAGGUCACAUACCAAAUUAACAAUACCGUAUACUCUGGGGCCUACUACCUUGCCGACGGAAUUUAUCCUAGGUGGACGACAUUCGUGAAAACAAUUCCGAAUCCCCAAUCCGAGAAGGAAAGAAGCUUUGCUUCCUUUCAAGAAGGUUACAGGAAAGACGUGGAAAGGUGUUUCGGUAUCUUGCAAGCUCGUUGGGCAAUUAUCAGGGGUGCUGCUCGGAUGCUAGACGAGGAGGUGCUGAGGAGUAUUAUGAUGACUUGCAUCAUCCUCCACAACAUGAUUGUGGAGGAUGAGUAUGACUACGAUGCUCCAGAGGUGUUUGAACCCGAUCCUAUAAACACGGCAUUGACAAGAAUAUAUGAAAGGCCGAUAGGACCAAAUGGACUACCAUUGGAGCCCGAACCGUUACUUCAGGAUGGUCGAUUCAACAACCCCAUGAUUGAUCGUUAUCAAGAAAUGCAAUCUUCAUAUGUUCACGAAAGACGUCAAGUUGACUUGAUCGAGCACUUGUGGCAGAUGAAAGGCAAUCACAAUGGAUGAAGGCUAGAUUUAUGCUUUGUUUUUAAUUAUGCUUUGUUUUUGUGUGUUGUGUUUUGUGGAAUUAUUGCGAGGUCUUUUUUAUUAUUAUGCUUUUAUGUAUGGUUUGUUUUGUGUGUUGUUUGCAAUAAAUGAAGGUUUGUUUUUAAUUAAUCUUUGUGAGGAAUGCUCAAAUGUUUUUAAUAAGUAGUCCAAUUAUAGAAUGCUUUUUUGAUUGAAUAAAAAAGAAACAAUACAACAAAUUAAAGGAUAAUACAAUAAUUUAAAAAAAAUACAACAAUUAUAAAAAAAUACAACAAUACAAUCUAAUGGUUUUCAUCAUUUAGCCAAUCCGUAUUGCUAGGUCCGUCGUCAUGGAAAAGUUUUCUUCUCAUCACAUCCCUUCGUUUAUGCUUCCAAUAGGCCUUUGUUUCAGGAGACAUAUGGCUCGUAUCCAUGGCCAUGAUUUUCAUCUCUCUUUCAUCGUCGUCUUUUUCUUUUGCAUGUUGCUUUUCAAUUGCAAAGGCUUCCAAUCGUGCCUUGUCCGCUUCAUCUCUCCUCAAGUCUCUCUCCAAUCUUAGAGAGUUGUUCUUAGCUAUUUGCUCGAAUAUUUGAACACAAUCAAUGUUCGAAGUGGCCCCUCUCUUGGCCUUUGCCGCCUUUCUCCCAAUAGGUCUCGGCGGACGUGGGAGUGGUGACUCCGUUUCCAUUGGGGAGUCUAAUGGCGAAUUGGUUGAUGGCGAUUCGUGGAGCGGCGUCUCAUGCAACACAACCGGGGGUGCGGUAGGAAUAAUUUUGAAUCUAGAACAAUCCUUGACAAUUUCCCAACAUUGGAAAUGCACAAAACUUUUUUUCCCUUGCCCCGUGGCACCGAACCACAUUUGUGCUUGUAUGAUCUAUUCAAAAUAAAUAAUUGGAAGUGCAUUAAAAAAAUAUACAAUGCAAGAAAUUAUAAACUAUUUUGAAAUGCAAGAAUAAAAUUGAUUAUGUAAAUAAAUAUAGACAAAUUGAAAAUGCAAAAACAAAAAUAAAGAUUAUGCAUGAAAUUAUAAACUAUUUUGAAAUGCAAGAAUAAAAUUGAUUAUGUAAAUAAAUAAAGCCAAUUAGGAAAUGCAAAAAUAAAAUAAACAUUGUGCAACAAAAAAGAAAUAGAAUAUGCAAUAAAAAAAAGUUACAUUAAAUUGAUUAAAAUGGCAAUUAAAAAUAUUUUACCUCAUCGGAAAGAUUCGCACCGCUCCGAAUGUUCUCCUUUGCUUUUGUCAAGGCAUUUCUCCAUUUCCCUAACUCUUUGUUUAGAAUUUUCCAUCUACUAGACAAAGCCAUUUCGGUCCGAAUGGAACCCGAUCUUUGACAAAAUUCUCCAUGAAUUUUGCUCUACAUAUGAUGGAACUUCAUCUCAUUGCCCGUGAUAGGGUCAUGACUAACGUUCAACCAAGACUCGCACAACGCAAUAUCUUCCUGAGUUGACCACGAGCCUCCGAUUUCAACAGAAGAUGCCAUUUGUUUAUUUUCUACAAAUGGAAAGUAGUACAAAAAUGUGAGUGGAUAGUAAAAAAUAUUGGAAGGAGAAGAGUUUGUAUGGAAUUGGUGUGGAAAGUGGAAAAUAUGAGUAGAGAGUAAAAAAUAUUGGAAGGAGAUGAGUUUGUAUGAAGAUUUGGUGUGAAAAAUGAAUUAUGUGAGUCGAGAGUAGAAAAUAUUGUAUGGAGAAGAAAUUGUAUGAAGAUUUGGUGUUGAAAGUAGAUAAAAUGGUUAGGUAUUUAUAGGGAAAAAAUACAUACAUUUUUGGUUUUUUUUUAAAAAAAAAUUUCAGAAUUUUUUCGAAUUUUUUACCGUAGGAUUUCUGAAAAAAAAUCCAAUCGGAGCCACCCGGUGCCGACAUGUGGCAUGUAACCGUUGGUGGUGACGUCACGACGACGUCAGCGCACUUCAGUUAAAUUUUUAAAAAUUUGAAUUUACUGCGCUGACGUCACCUGAACUCGGGCUCGAGCCCAAUCGAUUUUCGCCCUUGGGCCUGCCCGGGCUCGUGGGACCCGCAACUUGCCCGGGCUGCUUUGCGCGCGCUGGAGCUGGACUUGGGCUGAUUUUUGCCUUUUGCCUGGGCCAACCCCUGGCGCUGUACAUGCUCUUAGCACAUGCCUUGUGGUUAGGAUAGUGUGCCCGACUGGCCCAUUGCACCUAAGUUCGAUCAUUUUUUCCAUACAUUAAACUAAUUUAGAAUGUUGCUCUUGUGAAAAUAGGAAAGAGAAAAAAAGCCCAAUUUAGAGCAAUUUUAAUUGUGGGCUCGAAACCCAACUUGUGAUAUGUGUACAAACGCAAAGCCAAGCCCAAAAGUAUUGGUUGUUCGCGGUUAGGGCAAACAUGUAAAAACGCGUGGUGGUAUUGAAAUUAGCGCGAAGUCCAAGGGCGUUAGGUGACACGUCAUAAAGUCCCAGUGACACAGGUCAUGAGACGCGCAAAAAGGCCACCAAAAAACGCUCGUUUCCACUUUGGCCUACACAUCCAAACCCUCAAGCCUUGUUUUUCUCUCUCUAUUUCGUCGUGCUUUAUCCUAUCCAGGGUUUCAUCUCCACACUCUAUUCGGUGCUUCUCUCUCCUCCUCCAUCGCACACUGUAAGUCCUCUCUCAAAUACCUCAUGAGCAGAAUUGUUUGGAUAAUUUUUUAAUUUUGCAUAAUACAAUUGCAAUGCCAAUGCGCUAUGAUUUAGGUCUGCGGGUGCAUCGCUGUGGCGUUGUUUGUUUCUCAGGAAAAUCAUGAGUGACAAGGGAGAAAAAACGUGUCCAAUUUGCGCUGAGGAGAUGGAUUUUACGGAUCAGCAGCUGAAGCCGUGCAAAUGUGGUUACGAGGUCUGAACGAACCAACACUAGCCUUGUUUACUUUGUCGUUUUGUUUGUUUGUGAUUUCUGCUCUUGUGGCCAUCAUAAAUUCAUUGUUUCUGCUGCUGCAUCCUGUGUGAAUGUGACAAUGUGUGUAGUUAGUCGCCCAUUUAAGUGUAAAAACCUUUGAUAUAGAAAAUUGGAUAGAAGGAUGUGAAAAUGUGAUGACAUUGUAAUUCAUAUAAAUGGGGGUAAGUUUUUUUUUGGGGGGUUAUUUUUCCAUGGUAACUGUUCAAAUUUUUUGGUAGUUCUCUGUGAGCUUACUCUUUGUGCCCUGCUUGAUCCCCAUUUACCGUCACAGGUGUGUGUUUGGUGUUGGCAUCACAUUAUGGAAAUGGCAGAGAAGGAUGGAAAGGAGGGUCGUUGUCCAGUGUGCCGUACAACUUAUGACAAAGAAAAAAUUGUCGGAGUGGCAGCAAAUUGUCAAAAGUUGGUACAGUUAUUGGAGGAGUUUCUUGUUAAUGUAUAACAUUGUGUGACAAGUUGAGGAUUAACUUUUCCCCUCCUUGAACAGGUUGGUGGCUGAUAUUAAUCUGAAGCGGAAACAGAAAAAGCUCAAGGGACCUGAAGCAAAGAAGCAACUUACUGAUGUUAGAGUUCUCCAACGGACCCUAGUAUAUGUGAUUGGAUUACCUCUUAACCUUGCAAAUGAAGACGUGAGUAGCUAGUGUGUUACUGUGUGUCUCAUUUUUGUUAGGUAUCUAAGUGGAACAUAGUGCACAAAUAAUCUGAUGUUUUAUGGAACUUAUAUAAAUCUGUACUUAUAUUGAUGUAGAUUCUGAAAUAUGUUUUUGUGGGGUUUUACUAGCUUCUUAAGCGCAGGGAGUAUUUUGGCCAGUAUGGAAAGGUUUUGAAGGUUUCUGUUUCUCGUACAGCAAAUGGGGUUAUUCAACAGUCUCCAAACAACGGUUGUUGUGUGUAAGCUGGCUUACCGCUUUCAGUGUCUUAAGUUUAAACCUGCUUGAUGUGGAAUGCACAGUAUUUGGUUCACAUUUUCUUUUGUGCCUAUGUUUACUAGUCAUUAAUGAUCCCUAUUUUUACGUAAUUAUAUGCCAUUUACAAUUUUGAUUGGGCUAUAGGUGUCUUUCAAGGCUGUAAAUGUUUGUCUCUUUAUUAGGCAUGUUAGCUGGUUAUCAAGGCUAUAUAUUUAUUGUUGUUGUUGUUGUUUUUUUUUUUUUUUGGUUUUUUUGUUUUGUUUUUGGGGUAAUAAUGGACCAUGGUUCCAUUCCUUGUAUUAGGUAUAUAUCAUACACAAAGGAAUAUGAAGCAGCUCGAUGUAUUCAAUCAGUACACAGUUUUAUGUUAGAUGGUAAAUGCUUGAGGUAAGCCUGCCUUGGUAUCUAUUAGGAUUAUAGUGCCUUGAUUGCAGUUUUGUGACUAUGAGUUUUGCAUUUUCAGGGCAUGUUUUGGAACCACAAAGUACUGCCAUGCGUGGUUGAAAAAUGUAGUAAGUACUUAACUUAUUUCAUCUGGGCGAGUUCUUUGCACAAGAAAAACUUAGUUUUGUCAUCACUAAGAAGAAUUCUUUCGCUGGUUCAGCCUUGCAACAAUCCAGAUUGUUGGUAUUUGCAUGAUUUUGGCUCUCAGGAAGAUAGUUUUACCAAGGAUGGAUUAGUUUCAGCCUUUGAAAGGUAUAUAAAAGAAGCAAUCUGACAUGCCUUCUGUGAAUUUGAAAUAUGCAUUAAAUGUUUUUUUGUUUUUUUUUUUAAAAGAAAAAAACUGUUUGGGCAAUCUCACUUGUGACUUGGCCUUUAUCGCUUUGGUAAAUAUCAUAUUGUAGUUUAUAUCUUAAACUCUACUGUUUCGCAGGAGUAAAGAUCAUCAAAAUAUUGGUGUUACAAAUAAUCUGCAUCGGCGUCCGGGGAAAGGUUUACCUCCCCCGAUGGAUGAGUGUAGCAAAUGUGAAAGAUCAACAGAAGCUAAACCACUUGUUAAUCAACCGUCAGAUGUAAGGCUCUGCACAUGUUUUGGUUUAUUUGCUUAGGAUAGAUAAUUAUACUAUAGUGGCAGAAAGGUGCAAGGUAAUUUAAAAUCAAAUGAACGAUGAUCAUUGAGAUGGAAGUGUUAUAGUAAAUAAAAUGCAUGAUUUAUGCAGAUAAGCUCUGGAUGUUAUCUAUGCAGUGCACUUCAGUUAUGUUUAACCUUUUAUUUAUCUUCUUUCAACAGAUUGCUGGGAAUGUGGUUAAGAGUUCUUGUGCAGAUUCUGACUUUAGAAGAUCUAUUCCUGCAAGAGCACCUUGGUAUCUAAUUUUAUGAUCUGUGGUUUCAUGCUUUUGAUUGUGUGUUCGAUAACUAAUGUCAUCUUGGUUUCUCUAUCAGGGUCAUGGAAGUCUCCUCUAGUGUGCCCACAGCAACAAGUUCUCCAGGUUCCGAAAGGCUACCCCAUCAAAAUCCUGAGACAUCUAAUGAUCUUCAUCCCCUUUCAUCCGAAGUUGUUAGGAAUGAAAGUUCUACCCGCAAUGUAAGAUCUAUUAUAUCUGCAGAAGGCUGUAAAGGGCAUUUUAAUGGUUUGGAUCCACUGGUACUGAAUGAACAGAAUAUCAACAAUAAUGGUCAAGUAGCUGUAUCAAAUACAACUUCAGAAGCUCUAGUAGAUAGAACUUCCAUAAAAGACUUAGGUUGUCUAUUACCAAACAAUGGUAUUGGUCGAGGUAUUAGAGCAACAUCCACUGACUUAUCAAGCAACAAAAACAUAUGCUAUCCUUCAUCAAACUUGUCAAAUAAAUCCGUUGAUAACAAAGGCAAUAGCAUCAGUGAAUUUGAUAGGACAGUUGAACCUACCAGUGUGUUACCCGAGAUGGGAUCAGGCAAGUACUUUGGAGGGUCUGACACCAGUAAGCCCAGUAUUGACUGCAGUCUUGCUUACGAUAUAGGAGAGAGUGGCAUAAUCUCAAAUAUUUUGGCAAUGGACUUGGAUGCAUCUGAAGGCUCUCUAUCUCCUUUUCACAAUCUCAUUAAGUUGUUGGGUGAAACUGAUAAAGAUUGCAGUCUCCUGAAAGUACAAAGUUCAAGAAAGCUUCUUGAUAAAAAGCAGUCCAGGUUCUCAUUUGCCCAACAAGAGGACUCUUGCGAUAAUGUAUGGCAAGCAUCAAAUGACUACUCUGCAUUAUCUGAUUUGAUGGACAAGAAGGGUUCCUUCGUAGAUCUUGAGUCUAAUAAAUUUCUCAGGAUUCCUUCAUAUGCGUCUUCUAAAGUUCCAGGUUUGUAACUUUUAAUAAGUUAUUGUAAUUAUGUUUUCUCUGUCUGGCUCUUUUUUCACUCUUCACUUGUUUAUUUGUUAUUGGGUAAACAGCAGGUAGAAUCUGCUUUUUUGUAGUUCAUGAUUUGUCAUUUCUCUUGAAUCUUGAUCGCAAAUUUUCACUAGGCAUAGCCUUUUGUGGUGCUUUAUUGUUGAAAGUUUACUCUCACUCAGUAUCUUUUAGGUUCUCCUUUUUUGUGUUAGCAUAUAUGAAUCUAUAAAUUAACUUCUUUUGUCCAUUGCUCUGACAUUUUCUGACAGUUACAGAAGCUCCUAGUUCAGUCCCGCCAGGAUUUUCAGUGCCAAGCAGAGCACCACCUCCAGGGUUUCCAUCUCAUUUGAGCAGCAGGAGGGUGAACCAAGCUUUUGACAGUUCUGGUAUGUUGUCUCUUACUUGUGUUGUUUUGUGGGUUUUCUUUUGUAGACUUAUUCUAAGAGUACUGCUUGUGCCCUCCAGUGAAUCAUUUGUUGCAACCAUCUUGUAUUUCAACUGGUAAUUCUGGCAACACAGGGGAUGUUAAGAAUAAUGGUCAGGCAAUUCUGGAAGUUGGUGAAGGAAUAUUGGCGAGAGGGUUGAGUAGGAGAGCAACUUUAUCUCAGUUUAAUACUUCUGAGCCUGAUGCAAGGCGCCAUUUGAUGAGGCAGCAGACUUCUACACAGCAGAACUUAGGAUUUCAAGACCACUUCAGUACUAGGUACUCUUCCCUAAAUGAUGCACAUAGAAUUUCUCCACAGCAUCCAGAUCAAUUCCAGCCCAACAAUACAUCUUCAUUUGUACAGUCCAGCACUCAACAACUCAGUGACAUGCAUGUAUCAAACAGUCAUUGGGCUCAAUGGAAUGAGGUCAGGAGUGUGAGCGAUCUUGGUAUAUCAGAUCUACUGAGAAAUGAUAGAUUGGGAUUUACCAACCUCAUUCCCUGUUAUGAGAAUAUGAAGUCUCCAGCAGGUUGCUUCAGCCAUCUAAGCAACAGAGCAUUUGAAAUGUGAGUUUUUAUGUAGCUGGAGUUUCUCUUUCGUGCUUGACUGGGGGUCAAGCGUGACUGAGUGGAUUGCUCUUUUGAUGCUAAUUUUCCCUUUUGAAGUACCUUCACCUUCUGAGUUAUAUCCACAGUUUAUUAGUAUCACCUAGUAAGGAUCAACCUUUGUCUUUCUCUUUGUCGGAAAUUGGUUUUUCUUGAAAAGACGAAGUGAUAGGUUCAAGGGUUACUGCAUUCUCACAGAAUGGAAAUUGAGUGAGGGAAUUUUAUGCAUUCAUUUGCUAGUGAGAGGCCUUGAGUAUCGACAUUCCCUGUCUGUGUGGUAAGUGUCAAUGCAGUGACUAUAACUCCAUAUAGUGGAGGUACAUGUUCUCGAGGGAGGCCUGUUUUCACACUUUCUUGAGUGGAAAAAUAUAAGGAUUUCGAUAUGCUAUGAUGGGGGUAUGAGGGAACACAGAUGCGCCUAUACAAUACAACCAUUCUUCUAAAAGCAAGGUGAGAUACAUACAACACAGAUAUUGGAACACAUAAUGUCUAUUUUCUGUAUUUACGGUAAUCAGAUUUUGAAUAUAAACUACUAUAGUCAAAUCAUACAAAAUUCAUAACUACAUAGUAAACUUUCCCUGUACCUAUGGCUAUAUCUAGUCUGUGGAAAGAAGGUUGUAUAUUAAAUAUUAAUGCAUGCAUGAGAUCUAUCCAAAUCUAUCAACAAAAAUCAGAAUACGAUCCAAAUGUUGGGAAAUAUCUUUCUCACUGUCAUAAACUUGUCUUGCUUUCUUUAUUGUGAACAAAUUAAAGUUUGCAUAAAGUUCUUCACUAGUGUAAUGUUUUAUUUGUUUGUCUUGUUUUCUCUAUGCAGGUAGACUUGAGGAAAGUGGUUCUGUCGUGUUUGGUUGACCUAAUGGAUGCAUCUAAUGUUACCCAAUAUCGACCUCUGUUAAUGUUUUAGAACUCUCACCAGUGAUCAAGUGUAUAAUGACAAUGAAUGAAAUGCUAAAUUGAAAGUCAAGUCGGUGUUAAUGACGUUGCUGGAUGUUGUUUACGGAACUUCUUUUGGUUGUCCAUAAAGGUAUGAAUUUUUUUAAGAAAUUAACUGAAAAGGGAUGGAGAUUCAAUGAGCACCCAUUUUUAUGUUUAUCAUAGGUGCCAUUACAUGUGCAAAGUUGAAGGAACUUUAAAAAUGGCACCAUUGCAUGCCUUUGCCUGAGGCAUUAAAGGUCAGAUUAGGCAAUUAGGGGUGCAUUGUCUUCUUACUUGCAUGAUUCAAGCCACUGUAGUUCUUCUUUUGGUGAAAGAUUGUUUUUAAAUUCUCGUGUGGUUAGGUUGCUUUUGUAGGGUCGGAACAGGGCUCCGCAGUCUUAAUCAGUUCACCUUUUCUAGGUCCUUUGGGUACCAGAACGUGCAUGCCUAUUUGGUAUAUAUAAAAUUUUCUGAUUUAUCAACCAAAUGGAACCCCUACAAAGAGAUUGAACUUUGAACUUAGAAGAAUGGAGAAGCAUCACAUGGCAAUCUGUUUUAGCCCAACUCAACUCAACCACAAUAAUUAUCGAACAGUCAUUAAUUAGUGCUUUAGAACUGAAAGCUCGUGAGAACAGAAGCUUUUGAAGCCCUAGCUAGCUAGACCUUUCUCAACUCUCAAGGGUGUGGUCUGAUGGACGUCCUCAUGAACUGUUGCUUCAAUAAUUUGAACUGGCCUCUCUCUCUCUCUCUCUCUCUAGACAAUAGUAUCCAUCCGGCCGCAUGCAAAUUAGUUCACUAUUGGCAUCCCUGUUUGCUUAUAAAAAGUGAAGUCUCUUCUCUUGCACAGAGAGAGAGAGAGAGAGUAAAUAAGAAUGAUCGAAGGGUAAAAAAUCUCACUCUAUAAUUCUGGCAGAUACACAGUGAAGAUUAGAAUGGUAGCCUAGGUUGGCAGACAAGCAGGCAGGACUUUGACUGUGACUCAUCAACCUUAUCAUCCCCUGAAGAUUCCAUCACAUACAGUUCAAAAAGGUACCCCCAAAAAUCAAAAUAUGAGCCUGAGCUGUUUUGUGUUGUAUUCUAGUGUGUAUUAUUGUGAAAGGGAAACCUAGGAACCCAGGUUUAUUUACAUGCAAUGCAAUGCAAUGCAAUGCAAGAGAGGGAGAGAGAGAGAGAGAGAGAGAGAGAGAGAGAGAGAGAGGAUCAUGAACAUGCCCAACGCCAGUUGACUGGACCACUCUAUAUGUACAUAGUCUACUUUAGAGUAGUAAAACAGCAAAUCAGUAAAAUAGUAAAAGUAGUUGUACUCCUCUGCACACUCUCGCUCUUUCAUUUCAAAUAGUUGCGUGGCAUUGGCGUGUACUUACUUGAUGCAUUCCAAACACACAAGCUCUGUGUUUUCUGGUGUGUGUUUGUGAGGGAGAGGAAUAUACGGUAAAGUUGGGUUUGACCGUGGAUCUUCUCAUUUGUUUCUAAGUAAGAUAUAGACUCGUGGGAAAGAUAAUAUAUUAUACUGUCGAAUUAAUUGAUAAAAUAUUUAUGUUGUCUGUAAAUUUAAACCAUAAAUUAAGUUGAUUCUUAUUUGAAUCAUUAAAUGUGUGGCCUAAAUUCAAUCGAACUUUAUAACAUCAUUACACUUGUAAUCUAUUUAGAUCAAAUUUAUUGAACAUGUAACAAAAUAUACCCUCAUUCUCUUCUUGCAUUUAUCAACUCAAGAAACCAAAUAUCCUUUGUCAAUUUAGUUGAGAAACCAAAUGUAACAAUAUCAUCAGUGGUAAUGGUGAGAAAAUCCUGGCUAGCAUUAUCGAAUUCAGUUUGCCAAAAUAAGAAUUUAUUUGGCACAUUAAAUAAUGUGACAAGAUAACAUUAUUCAUCACAUUGAUUAAUUAAAUACACAUACACUGAGUGAAAAGGAAAUUCCCAAAAGAAGGAUUUGAGUUAUAAUUAAGUUUCAGUAGUGAUUUAAUUUGGUGUAAAUGUUUGUGCACAAGCCAUGCAUAUGCAUAAACAGUGCCAUUGAAAGGAAAGUAAAUCUUCCAACCGCCCAUGCAGCAAAUAAAUGCAGAGAGAGAGAGAUUAAAUACACAUACACUGUGAGUGAAAAAUGACUAUCACCUGUUAGUUUGAAUUUAAAUUUUAUACAUAGAUUUCAAAAUUAAUAGGUUAAUAUCUAAAAAAUAGAAAUUAUAAGAGCCUAUAUUAGACCAGCCCGAGAAGCGAAAACGCCUUAAACCCUAUGAGCAGAGAAGUAAAAAGAGGCUUGAGUCAGUGACAGAAUGAAAGGGGGGCAUCCUAAAAAUGAUAGACAAAACGGAGAGAGAGAGCAUUGAAUUGUUUUGAAAGAGUUUGGUUGAAUAACCAAAGUGGAAGGAAACUGACUAUAUAUGAACACACUUCUGCAAAUCACGAGGUCAUGCUCUGCCCCCAUAAACAGAAAUCUUGUAUCUAAGUAUAUAUGACAUGCAUUCACACUGAGACAGGCACACAGCUGUGAACUGCCCAAUAAAGCUAUCAGAUUACAUCAGGUUGUACCAAACGCAACACUAGGAGGAGGAACAUAGCAGUUAUAGCCCACACCACAUCCUCCCUAUAUAAUAAUAUACCCUACAAGUUUCUAGUGUGAAGAGAGAGAGAGAGAGAGAGAGAGAGAGAGAGAGAGAGAGAGAGAAACAUAGUUAGGUUAAGUUCUUUUUUAAAAAAAAAUUAUAAAACUUUGGGUUUUAUAACAUACUGUUUUUCUCAUCAUUCUUAUUGGUGGGGAGGAUUACCACCAAGUCAAUUGUCGUUUGAUAAGUUUAAUUUUUUAGAUAUGUGUAAUAUGUAGGUUAAAUAACAUUCGUAGACAUGCGUUAAGUCAGUUAGUCAAAAUAAUGAGUUCAUCUUCUUACACCUAAUUUCGAAUUUUCCUCCAAUAAACUUGAUUAAUUUUAGACUAUAAAUGAAGAAUCACAUUUCGUCAAAUGACAAUUAACAAAGUGAUAUAAUGCUCCAUAUGGGUUUUAAAUUUUGUGUACAAAUUCACUGGGUAACCUUCUACUCGAAAACAUAGGAAAAAGUGUUUGUAGAAUCUUAAGUACAAUUUGUAUGUGAAAAUGAUUAAAAAAAAGUGCAAAAGGUAAGUAUGAAAUGGUAAGGUACGCUGAAAAGGCUGGAGGUACCUGGCCUGAAUGGUUUUACUUUGGAGACGUAUGAAAGUACAAACGGGCUUUUCACGCUGCUCAUAAAUCACAAUGCAGAUACACAAAAUUACAAAUAUUAUUAUUUUAUCAUUUACAGACAGGUCGACGACCCUCUUUCUCCAUCUUUGAUCCUUUUCAAAUUUGCAGUGUAUGCAGUGCAGUGUGUAACAAGUACCUGCUUCAGCCUGAAAGCCGAGGAUUGCGGAUCCUUACAUUGCUACUUUUCCUUUACAGUCUGCAGACAUACACGUAGCUAGCUAGCUCCAACCCCAACUUGUCCACGUGUCCUCCAUUUGGCAACCAAAGAACAACCCACAAUGCCUAAAACUAAACACAACAUAGGGAAAGUUUUUUUUUAUUUUUCCAAAUAUAUAUUUCCUUUUCUAUGUUCUUUACAAAUCUGAAAAUUUGCAUUGCUGGAAGUUGUUUUGUUUUGUUCUAGCUUAGUGCUUGCUAGCAGAGCAGGUCAAGCUUUAUGUUACCAAUCUGGGAAUCAGAAAUAAGAUACCAUUCAUUUCACGCUAAAGUACAAACUCUUCAGCAGUAAAAAGAAAAGGCAUGUGACAUUGAACUGUUUUAAGCUUCCAAAUCAGAUUUUGGUCCACCUGCUUUUCAGCACCCCUCAAAGGAAGGAGGCAUGCAAAAGAAUGUGACCACAAGUCAGAAGAAGGCAAAACUACCUCAAUUUUUCCAUGCCUCUAGACCAAGAUCCUCAAGUUUCAUAAGCUUUACAUGAUCAUAGCAAAACAAAUUUCAUUACCAAUCUUUUUCUACUCGUCCCGUGACUACAUUCUACACUAAAAACACUAAAAUACUAAUGUGUCGUGGUUUAUAUCCUAUCUGGUUCUGGUUUUCAGCUCCUGCAAUAGAAACCGGGUAUGUUGUUGGUGACUGUCGAUGGUGAAAAAUGGUGGUGGAGAAUAGUUGUGUUAGGAAAAUGAAGUUGAGUGACAGCAGCUGGUGGUGAAGUGGCUGUUGAAGAAGGGAAUCCUGAUGAUGCUGCAGCAGAGAAGAGUGGCAUUGGAGUUGCUCCACCAUUAAGGCCUUGGAGUUGCCAUGCCCAAUUUGGAAAGGAGUUAACAUCCAUUCUCUUUUCCGUUGCUCUUUCCUGAAAAUAUAAAAGAAGUCGAAUUGUUAACAAACGCAGCAAAACUAGAAUUGUCAGUGAUUGGUGAUAAACAGGAAAUAAACCCCCUUUGCAAUCAAAGAAUUUGUUCAUAUUAGGGAAGCCUACAGUGCUUCUUCCAAGGGUUAAGAAAGCAAGGACCAAUAGGGAAUAUCGAAUGUAAAAAACAAGGAGAUUCUUUGUAAAUUGGAUAGAAGAUUUAACAUAAAAAAUUGAAGUGUACACCAAUAACACAAUCAAAUGAAAACAUUGCAAAGGUCAAGAAGAAAAUACUUCAGGCAGAAAAAUUAAGGUUUGAUAACUUCUUAUAAUAAAUUAUGAUAGUGACUAGAAGUGAAUGUAAAUUACCAUUUGGAUGGGAAAGAAACUGGAAUUUAUGUUGCUCAUUAUAGGAGGCUCCUCAGACGCCACCAUUGAGCCAUGAGACAGUUGAGCCCUCAUAGGUGCUGGAGCACAGUUCUCAUUCUGUAAACAGAACAAAAUGCUUUAAAGGGAGUAGCUUAAGUUGCAAAGGACUUCUGUACAAUAGCAAAGGUGAAUUCAGCUGAGUGGGGCUUUCAAAAGUUGAUCUCAACAUUACCCUUGUUCUCAUGUGAAUAGGAAUAUCAUCGCAGCCUAGCUGAACAGGGAAGCUGCUCAAAUUGCUGUUGUUCUUUUGGAGCUCAGAAACCAAAGGGGGAGCAAUUCCCAAGUUCAGAUCAAGACUUUUGUCACUGCCUGUACCAAGAAGGUUGUAGAUAGAUGAUGUAUUGGUAGAAAUAAAAGAAUAGUUCAAUUUUUUUUUUGCCCAACUAAAUUGACAAAGGAUUACACACAAAGAUCUUACAAAAAUGGAUUCUCUAACAACAAUAUACCUCCAUUGUGGGCCUCAGACAUUAUCUGACCAUCAUAUGAGUUUGGCUCAAAGUUGGUGACUGCUUCUCUUCCAUUGCAUUUGAUGGCAGCCUUGUCAUAUGCCCUGAUUUCAAAGAACAACACUAUACUGACUUAAAUGAAUCCCAUGGUCAGUAAGAUCUCAAAGUUUAGAUAUCGAGUAAAACGGUGCCUAUAUAAUAUCGUAAAGACCUUGCAGCUUCAAUCUCGCUAUCAAAUAGGCCCAGGUAUAUAUACCUGCAGGCAAGCAAUGAAAUACCAUAACCAAUGAAAACCAAUUUCUCAAUUCAUCCGAACAAUUUACUUUACAAAAACGAAGUCCCAACUAUUUAUUUGGUCCUUGCUGAACACAAUUCUUUGUAUUGUUCCCUUGUUCACUUAUCAUAAUCACUUAGACCACACAUAAAUGAAUACUCAAAAUCCAUAUUCAAACACAUUGACACAUAAAAUAAUGACAGUAAAACAGAAAGGAGUUCUUACUUCUUGCCCAGAAACUGGCCCAUUCGAGCUUCCCAGCGGCCACAUUUGUGCAAAGUGACUCCCCUGUAUUUUGAGCUUCCUCUAGAGAAUCCGGUGCUCUGGCGACGCAGGAUAUGCACAAACUCUUCCUUUGUAAAAUUGCUCAUCUGCGUCACAGUCAAAUUCAACCCCAGAACGAAAUAAGACAAUGCCAGGAAAAAUCUUCACCAUAUUGUAUGCAUAACACACUCUGAAACCGACCUGCUUAAUAUCGUCUUCAUAAUCACUGACAUUGAAAUUAAUAUCAGCUUCAGUUCCACGGAACUUGAUCGCAGCUCGAUCAUAUGCCCUAAGUUCAUGUUACCAAACACCCACAAAUACCCGAAACGUUAAAAGAAAAAAACAUGCACUAAAUUUUUUAUUAAAAAAAUAUUUAUAUCAUCAAACAAUAGGAGUCUUAUUUCUUACCUAGCUGCAGCAUGGGCAGUGUCAAAUCCUCCUAAAAUUUCAGAACAAUAAACAAAAGACAAAAAGAAAAAUAUAAUCAGCCACAAAAAGAAAAAAGAAAAAAAAAAGGACUAAGCGGUGGGUUUUGAUUUUUCUUACCCAAGUACACCUGUUUCCCGCAAUCCCUACACAAAAAAGAAGUGAGAGAGCUCAAAUUCAUGCCACAAUCAAAAUAUCCAAACAGAGUGUUAAUGGUGUUAUCACCGUAGCCAAACACUAACCAAAUAUGAGAUUCCCAUCUCCCGGUUCUCCGAUAGAACGUAACGCCCCGAUACUGAGAGCUCCGAGACCUGGGUCCUCUCCGGCUCUUCUUCACUUUAUGCUGCAGGGGCACGAUCUGCUCCGCAGGAGCAUAGUAGCUCGGCUCCACCUCCAAUCCGGAAUUGGACGAUAGUCCCAGCCACUGCUUUCUCGAAGACGAUGACGACGAAGAAGAAGAGCGUACGGAUUGCGCGAGCGGGAAGAGCUGGAUGGUCCGAGCAUCACAGUGAGCGUUGUCGUCUGCAGCGACGUCGUUUGGGGAGAGGAAGUUGAGGUCUUCGUCGUCGCCGGUGGCAGUGAGGUUGGAGGAGGAGUUGAAGCUGGCUGAGCUCUGGAUUGGGGAGGUGGUAGCGGGAAGGUGAAGAAGGUUGUUGUCGGAGCUGGAGACGACGUCGUUGCAGACGAAGCUGAGGUUGAGAUCUAGCAUUGCUUUUGUGUAAAGAUUUGGGCUUUGUUUGGGUGGCGUGGUGGGUUCGGUGUUUGGGACGUGAAUUCAGAGAGAGAGCAAUGGCAGUGGGAAAAUGGUGAGAGAAAAUGAUGAGAGUGGAAAAAGCAUCUUCAUUUCGAGAGCUUUGCUUUGUUUUGUACGUGUUUGUUAAAAGGAUUGAGAGAGACGAGAGAGGAGGAGAUGUGGUUGAAAUUGAAGUUGGUUCUGGAAGCGCCGGCGUAAGCGAAUCAUAGUGAGGCCGGCUUUGUGAGUCUCUUCAUUCAUGCAAACCCACCGAAAUUAAGAAGUUAAUAAAGUUGUUAGAGAGAGAGAGAGAGAGAGAGAGAGAGAGAGUUGUUUGUUAUGGAGCAAAAGAAAAAGGGAUUAAAAUGGAAGAUAAAUUCACUACACACAUUUGGCCCACUAUUCAAUAAUUUCAAUCUUGUUAGAAAAUUUUACACAAUUUAUCACAAAACUGUUAAUUUGGAUAAUUAACAAAAGCGUAUUUAAUUAUUGAUUGUAAAUGUAGGUGAGUGUUACGGUGAAGUUCGUAUAUGUCGGUCUAAUUCUGAAGUCCAUAUACAUCUACGAUCAACAAUCAAUCACACACACAAAUUUCUAAUUGAUUAAGUGAAUUCAUAUUUUGGUACCUAGUAGUUUAAUUUAACAACAUAUAAGAUACUUGAUAAGAGAACAUUCAUUCAUGAACUUUGUAAUAUUUGGCACCUACUUCUUUAUAGAGUGAAUGAAUAAGAAGUUGUAGGGUUUGAUGGUGGGCUGAGAGAGAGUGGGGGGUUCAAUCAGUCAGAGAGCGGUGGGAAUAUGGGGGUGUGUGUAUGUGUCACAUCUCAAAUGUGGGUGACGAGACCAUUCCCUGGUUCAUAUUGCCCCCUACCCUCCACCCUCUCAUCUGGCUGACACAUAGCCACUUAGCCAUAGCCAUCAACAUUUAUCAAUAAAGAUAAUCAAUUUUUAUGAUUUGUUUUGUUGGGAAAAAUUGGCACACCCUUACCUUUGAAACUCUCAAUUAGACAAACUUGUCAAUUUCUGUUCUUUUACCUUUUCCUUUUCCUUUUGAUGUUGCUUAGGAUAUGACAGCAUAUAUUAUAAGAGUUAAUCACACCAAGCAUUUGAGACAAUGUGAUAAUAGGAACAUCACAUUUUAAUAAGAGUGAGAUUAUUUGUAUUAGUGAACUCCACUUCUUUACGAGAAGCGGUUACUCUCAGUAUAAAUGUAUCACAACUUUAUUAAAUUAUUAAUGAUAUCAACAAUGUGAUACAUAAAUUGGUCAUGUAGAAUGUUACUCAAUAUAUUACUAAAACAAUUACUAUAUGUAUAUAUUACUAAAACAAUCUGCAAGUCCAAGUUGGCCUGUGGCAGAAUCCGUACACGUCUUCCUUAAGUACCCAAAAACGACAGAAGCCGAAAUUAGGUAGACCCAACGCAACUGGGCCCAUUGCCUGCCCAAAAUGACAAUUCUUCUUCUUCUUCUUCUUUUUUUUUUUUGGUCUUAAUGACAACUCUUCUUUUAUAAAAUACAAGAAUAUGUAUUUAAAAUAUUAUUUAUUUCUGCCCUCAUGUGACUCGGUGUCGGUACCGUAAGACACAGCUACCUCUCAUUCCUCGUCGUUUAACUCGUUAUAUCAAAAAGAGCAAAACACCCGACGUGUCCUAAACCGUCGGAGAAACAGACAAAAGAAAAAACGAAUGACACAAUCCGUUACCGUUAGUUUUAAACCCUAGCAAAGCCUCAUCGUUAACCACUCAACAUGUGUUUUGAUGAUAACCGCGUUUUCUCGAUACGUUUUUAAUUUCAUACUGUGCACUGCUUGCGCUUAACUUGUACAAAAAGAGUGUCCAAAAAUUCAGUCGGAAGAUAUGUAUGUGUGUGUGUAUUUUGUUUUUUCUUCUAAUCUUAGCUGGCAUGGCAGCCAUACAAGUUUAUUGAGGUGGGUUGGGGGUUGACUGGGCUGGCAAGUUGAGUUGGUUCAUUUUCAUGGGAUAUAUAGCCCAUGCAAAUUUUGUUCUAUAACAUAAAAUUCUGUUAUUAAAUCGAAGUUACUUGUAAUAAGUUUAUGUUAAUUGGUUACAUUAGACUUCGUCUGCCGUUUAUAUUUUACUUUUCAGUGAAUCAUUGCAUUGUGAUGUGGUAUUUUUCUUCUAAUUUGGAUGAAUACAAUAUAAGAAUUACGAAACAAUAUGAAAAAACUCGGUGUAUCGAAAAAAUGUUAACUCAUACUAAAGAAUUGAAUAUGCGCCCAUGUUUACAAAUUACAAGGGUUUCUUGAUGUAUACAUGGUCAGCGGUGACAUUUUCAACUUUUCAAUAGACAAUUUAACAACAUAAUAUAUAUAAGUAUUCUACCAAACUGUGUUGGAUUCCCUUUUAAAUAUGAGGUGUUCAAAUUCACAGUUUGACAAAACACGAAUUGUUGCAUUGCUAGCCUGUCCAACAAGAGAGAACAUUACCCAUAGAAUCGUCCCUAAUAUAAACCGUCCUUAUAUCCAAUCCAAGUGAUCAUUUAAAUCCAUUAGAAAAUGACGGUGAAGCCAUUUCUUCUACCUCUUCAGCCUUGACUUGCUCAGCAUUCUCUCUUAACUUUUUGUAUAUGUUACCUUUGUAGAAUGGCUUGGCUCUCUCCACCAAAAUAAAUGAAACGAGAGCCGAAAAGAAUGUGACUGCAGCCAAAAUAAUGAAAGCCAUCUUAAAACAAUGAGUUCCAAUGCAGGUGAGGUCCUUCCCUUGGGUCCUAGUCUGGCCCAAUUUUGCAAGGUCCUUCCUCUUUGUCAUAGAGCAUUCCAUUGACCUUCACAGUGAGCAAAUAAGAGCCAAGAGGACUUGCCAAUUGGCCAAAGUUGAAAAGGGUAGAAUAGUAUUUCAAGCCAAAGAUUUCAGAAAUGAUAGAGUAAACCAAUGGCAACUGAGCCCCUAAUGUGAACCCAGUGAUCACUGAAGCAAUGUACAAAGCACCAGGGAAUGAGAAAGCAAUGAGAAGGUAGCCUGUGGUGGCUAUGACAAGGACAAUUGUGACCAUAAGGGGUCUUGGAAUUUGGUCUCUCAUGAGUAGGAUUUCUGAGAUAAACACAGAAAAGACUCUACCAAAAAAGUUCCAUAUGCUGAUGAGUGACAUGCAAGUGUGAAUGGUUUCAGGUUUGGAGCUCCCUUAAUUUAUUUCCCUUCUCUCUUGAGAACUUAUUUCUCAGUUAUUGUUGGAAGUUUGAAUGAAAUUCAAUGACUUUUGUCCCACAUUGCUAUAAAGAAGAAAACAUGAGAUCUUUAUAAGUGUGGUAGUCCUAAACAAGAAAAUUGGAAGUUGGGCCAAGUGGAAGCCAAUUGGGCUUCAAAUUCAACUUGGGCAUUGAAUAUAUGAUUUAAAUUAAUUAAUUAGUUUCGAAUUAUUAUUAUAAUUUCUUUUUAAAAAAAAAAUUAAAAUUCGGAUUAGUUUAAUUAAUUUCUUUGAAGAAUAGUAUAGCCGCACGGCUAUACAAUUGAAUAUAAUAUAUUUCAAGCGUAUAGCCGGUCGGCUAUACUGUAUAUAUAUUUUUUUUUGGGUCCUUUUUUGUUUUUCCGAAACAGUACUCUUGCUGAUUUUCUUUUAAUAAAUAGUACAGCCGCACGGCUAUACUGGGUUUUUGGAAAAUUUCUUUGAAGGAUAGUAUAGCCGCACGGCUAUACUAAUAAAAUACAUAGGGUGCUUGGAAGUUGGGCCAGACUAGGUAAUUGGAAGUUGGCCCACACAAGGCAAUUGGAAGUUGGGCCAAGUGGAAGCCAAUUGGGCUUCAAAUUCAACUUGGGCAUUGAAUAUAUAAUAUUUAAUUAUCAAAAAGAUGGCCUUAGGCCUUGGGGCACUUGGGCAUUUAUGAUUUAAAUUAAUUAAUUAGUUUCGAAUUAUUAUUAUAAUUUCUUUUUAAAAAAAAAAUUAAAAUUCGGAUUAGUUUAAUUAAUUUCUUUGAAGAAUAGUAUAGCCGCACGGCUAUACAAUUGAAUAUAAUAUAUUUCAAGCGUAUAGCCGGUCGGCUAUACUGUAUAUAUAUUUUUUUUUGGGUCCUUUUUUGUUUUUCCGAAACAGUACUCUUGCUGAUUUUCUUUUAAUAAAUAGUACAGCCGCACGGCUAUACUGGGUUUUUGGAAAAUUUCUUUGAAGGAUAGUAUAGCCGCACGGCUAUACUAAUAAAAUACAUAGGGUGCUUGGAAGUUGGGCCAGACUAGGUAAUUGGAAGUUGGCCCACACAAGGCAAUUGGAAGUUGGGCCAAGUGGAAGCCAAUUGGGCUUCAAAUUCAACUUGGGCAUUGAAUAUAUAAUAUUUAAUUAUCAAAAAGAUGGCCUUAGGCCUUGGGGCACUUGGGCAUUUAUGAUUUAAAUUAAUUAAUUAGUUUCGAAUUAUUAUUAUAAUUUCUUUUUUAAAAAAAAUUUAAAAUUCGGAUUAGUUUAAUUAAAUUCACUGGGGGGCCUAUUUUGUCUUCAUUUUUAAUUUUAAUAAUAAAUAGUAUAACACAUUGCCGUUUAAUAGUCGUGUUAUACACAUACAUACGUAUUUUUCCACAAUACUUCCAUUUUUCGUACACAAGGAAAACGUACAAUACACGCACGUGCGGAUUUUUCAUGUUUAAUACAUGUGUUUUUACAAAAUUGUCAACAAUACACACAAAAUUCACGUAUUAUACACACAAUUUUACAUACUAUUGAAUAAAAAUAAUAUAUAUCGAAAAAUUAUAUAGUGGCCGAACUUUAUGAUCAUUCAUAUGCUUGGUAGUAAGGUAAGUUAGCCCAAGGAAAAAGAAGAAAUCGAUUCAUACCCACUCUUGUAGGGGUUUUUAAAAUCUCUUCUUUUAACAAAUAGUAUAGCCGCAUGGCUAUACUAUUAUUGAACAUAAUAUACUGUACUUUUUUGACCCCUUUUUUUUUUUUGUUUUUUUUCCACCCCCGGAACAGUACCCCUGCUAAUUUUCUCUUAAUAAAUAGUAUAGCCGGGCGGCUACACUGGGUUUUUUGAAAAUUUCUUUGCAGAAUAGUAUAGCCGCACGGCUAUACAAUUGAAUAUAAUAUAUUUCAAGCCUAUAGCCGGUCGGCUAUACUGUAUUUUUUUUUUUGGGUCCUUUUUUGUUUUUCCGAAACAGUACUCUUGCCGAUUUUCUUUUAAUAAAUAGUACAGCCGCACGGCUAUACUGGGUUUUUGGAAAAUUUCUUUGAAGGAUAGUAUAGCCGCACGGCUAUACUAAUAAAAUACAUUGGGUGCUUGGAAGUUGGGCCAGACUAGGUAAUUGGAAGUUGGCCCACACAAGGCAAUUGGAAGUUGGGCCAAGUGGAAGCCAAUUGGGCUUCAAAUUCAACUUGGGCAUUGAAUAUAUAAUGUUUAAUUAUCAAAAAGAUGGCCUUAGGCCUUGGUGCACUUGGGCAUUUAUGAUUUAAAUUAAUUAAUUAGUUUCGAAUUAUUAUUAUAAUUUCUUUUUUAAAAAAAAUUUAAAAUUCGGAUUAGUUUAAUUAAUUUCACUGGGGGGCCUAUUUUGUCUUCAUUUUUAAUUUUAAUAAUAAAUAGUAUAACACAUUGCCGUUUAAUAGUCGUGUUAUACACAUACAUACGUAUUUUUCCACAAUACUUCCAUUUUUCGUACACAAGGAAAACGUACAAUACACGCACGUGCGGAUUUUUCAUGUUUAAUACACGUGUUUUUACAAAAUUGUCAACAAUACACACAAAAUUCACGUAUUAUACACACAAUUUUACAUACUGUUGAAUAAAAAUAAUAUAUAUCGAAAAAUUAUAGGGAUCUUCACUAAUAUACCCAAAAUAGGAGCUGAAAUUAUAAAAAAAACCCCACAUGGAAAACACUUCAUAAACACACCCAAAAUCCAUUUAUUAAAUAACAAAUUAGUGUUGAAGUUCCAAUAAAUUACAGCACUGCCACUAUCAAGCCCAACAGAAAAAAACUCAAAAAACACCCAAAACAAACCCAGCCCAAAUUUAUAAACAAGCCCAAACAUUGUACCUGGUAUUCCAUAACUUUCGGCCCAAAAAAAAAAAGUAAACCGUAAAAGUAAACAAACAGUAACUUAACUGCCAGCACGCGCGCCUUCAUUUAAGCCAUCUCUGCAAAACGUCUCUUCACUCUUCGUCUUCAUCAAAUCGUCUGCAAAACCGAGACUCCAUAAUCACCACGAAGCUUCAUCUACUUUCAAAACGAACACCAGACACUGACCUCCACCUUCAGAACCAAGACAAAAUUUCAGAGAACGAUUUCGACAAGAAAACGCUUCAAAGGUAAGACAUUUACUGUAAUAUUGAUUAUUUGCUAUAAAGAUCCAGUCUAGGGUAAUAACAGUAUUUUAAAUUCGAAUGAAGGACAAAAUCUUGAAACUAUAUAGGAUUCACUACUGGAAUAAAUGCAUAGGACCAUUAUUCUAGUCACUAAUCUCGGAUCGAUAACCCUGAUUGUACACUAUGAAAUCCUAUUUCUAACGCAUGUCUGCCACUGUAAAUAAAGUUCCAGUAUAGGGUAAUAACGCUACUCGUUUCCUACGAAAUCCCCUUUGAAAUGCUUGCCUAACACUGUAAAUUUCCAGUAUAUGGUAAUAAUACUGAUUGUACACUGAAAUCCUAUUUCUAACGCAUGUCUGCCACUGUAAAUAAAGUUCCAAUAUAGGGUAAUAACACUACUAGUUCUCUUUGAAAUCCUAUUUCUUGUGCUUUUCUACCACUGUCAAGUUCCAGUAUAUGGUAAUAAUACUGAUUGUUCCCUAGGAAAUCCUAUUUCUAACGCAUGUCUGCCACUGUAAAUAAAGUUCCAAUAUAGGGUAAUAACACUACUAGUUCUCUUUGAAAUCCUAUUUCUUGUGCUUUUCUACCACUGUCAAGUUCCAGUAUAUGGUAAUAAUACUGAUUGUUCCCUAGGAAAUCCUAUUUCUAACGCAUGUCUGCCACUGUAAAUAAAGUUCCAAUAUAGGGUAAUAACACUACUAGUUCUCUUUGAAAUCCUAUUUCUUGUGCUUUUCUACCACUGUCAAGUUCCAGUAUAUGGUAAUAAUACUGAUUGUUCCCUAGGAAAUCCUAUUUCUAACGCAUGUCUGCCACUGUAAAUAAAGUUCCAAUAUAGGGUAAUAACACUACUAGUUCUCUUUGAAAUCCUAUUUCUUGUGCAUUUCUACCACUGUCAAGUUCCAGUAUAUGGUAAUAAUACUGAUUGUUCCCUACAAAAUCCUAUUUCUAACGCAUGUCUGCCACUGCAAAGUUCCAAUAUAGGGUAAUAACACUACUAGUUCUCUUUGAAAUCCUAUUUCUUGUGCAUUUCUACCACUGUCAAGUUCCAGUAUAGGGUAUUAACAUCGAUACUUUACUGUCAUGUUCCUAUUUCUAAUGCAGGUAUACAAAUUAAAAGAUGAAGAAAAUACAAACCAGAAGAACCUCCAAACCAAAAGGACAACAGUCAUCAGCCAUAACAAAAACAAACAAGAAGCCAAGCAGAUGGGAGGACCCAAAUUAUGUCCAGAUCAAGAGCAACAUGCUCUCUUUUGCAACAACAAUUGACAACAUCAGACAAAGACUUGAACAACGGCACGAUGUCUUAACACUGCUAUCAAAGACACCUUUUUGGACAUUGAUAGAAGCAUAUAUCCAGAGAAGGUUAACGAAGGUAGAGUGCAUGAAGUCUAACUAUGACAUUGUGAGACUCAUACAAGUUUAUGACACGAAGACAAAGAAGUUCAGGUUUGAUGAUGGUGACAAUGAGAUCAAAAGCCAAUAUGUGUCUGAAAUUUUUGGCUUGCCAAACAGAGGCAAGAAGCUACCAAGCACAACAACCUCAACAAGGCCAAAUCUCCAUUUUGUAAAGAAGUACUUCUCGGGUUAUAAGAAGAUAACAAAGACUUCAAUUGAUAAGUGCUUGAACUUAGCACUUGAAGAUGAAACAGAAGAGGGGGCUAUGGAUACAACAAGAUUGAUAAUCCUACAACUCUUCAUGACCAAUCUCUUCUGCAACUCUGGUUGUACACUUGCUUGGACAUAUACAACCACAAUAGACACCUUAGAAGAGAUGGGGAAAUAUAAUUGGGCUCGAGGAGUUUUGGACUACAUGUAUUUUGGAUUAGAACAAGCAAAGAAGAACAAGAAAGACAAAAAGAAGCAGCCAAGCGUGAGUGGCUGCCUAAUCCUAAUACCGGUAAGAACACCAAUCUCCAAACUGCAAAUUCGUAGCAUUACUUUAAAUGAUAUGAAUUGACACAUGAUAUUGCAAUAAAAUAUUGUGCAGUAUUGGCUGUGUCAAAGAUCUAACCUGCUCACUCCAAUUCCUGGAAGAGAACAAAUGACACCAGCAGCUGUCAUAUGGAGUCUUCAAGAACUCAGCGCGAAGCUUCAUCAUCUAGAGAACAACCAGAUAAAGGUACUGUUAAUACCAUGUCAUAGACAUACAUUCUUAAUACCAUGUCAUAGACAUCCUAUUUCUUGUGCUUUUCUACCACUGUCAAGUUCCAGUAUAUGGUAAUAAUACUGAUUGUUCCCUAGGAAAUCCUAUUUCUAACGCAUGUCUGCCACUGCAAAGUUCCAAUAUAGGGUAAUAACACUACUAGUUCUCUUUGAAAUCCUAUUUCUUGUGCUUUUCUACCACUGUCAAGUUCCAGUCAUAGAAGUAAACUAUGAAUACCAUGUCACUCUUAAUGCUAACUCUACUCAACAAACAGAUAAAAAGCACUAAAGCUCAAGAGCCGGAUGAUGAUUCUGAAGAAGAGAAUGAAGAGGAGGAUGCUGCUGCUGAAGAAGUUAAUGAGGAGCAUGAUGAUGCUGCUGAAGAGGUGAAUGAAGAGCAUGGUGAUGCUGAUGAAGAAGAAAAUGAAGAGGAGGAUGCUGAAAUGAAUGAAGAGCAUGAUGAUGCUGCUGAACAUCAAGUCCAGCAACACCACCAGCUACAAGAAGACCACCAGCAACACCACCAGCAAUACCGGAAUUCAACGUUAUUUGAGGAAAAUGUUGGAUCUGUCCUGGGAUACAAGGAGGAUGAAAUACAACUUACAAAAGAGUACAUGAUUGCGAUCAACAAUGCUGCUGAAUAUUGGACAAAGAAAGGAGAGCAUCAAAAGAUCCAUGAUGCAAUAGCAUCCUGCAUAAAAAAGAAUAAAUUGAUUCAGAUGCUGUACAAUGAAAAAGAAGAAUUAAGGAAGCAUCAGCAGCAACUGCAGAAGAUGGUUAAGGAAGCAGCAUAUCACAAGAAUGCCAUACAACUUGAUAUGUAUGAGGAAAAAUCCUACAUGACAAAGCUGCAGCUAGAAAAUGAUCAACUUCUUGCGGAGAAGAUUUUCUACUUGGAAAUUAUUAAUGGAAAGGAAGCUGUUAUUGCCCUAUUGAGGGAUCAAAAAUUAGCGCAAGAACUGCAGAGUGAAGAAGAUAAAGUAGAAGAGAAAGAAGGUGAAGCAGAAAAGAUAAAAUCAAGAAAACCAGAUUCCUCAUUCCCUGAAGCAGAGACAAGAGCACAAAAGAGAAAGCCUGCAAAAAAAACCUCAAGAACCAGCCAAAUCAAAGAAGAGGGCCAAAGGUUCAUUCCUGCAAUGGAAUACAUAUCAGGUCUACAACAUGCUGGAUGAACUCUCACAAGAAAAGCUGAGAAAUUACUGGAAAAGUUCAAUUGAUAGGUAAGGCAAUGUGUUUCAUUCAUUUUCAAUGCAAGAUGCUAUUAUUGAACAUGCAUUAGAAAAUAGGAUUUCAUUGUGUUAUUACCCUAUACUGGAACUUUACAGGGGGUAGACAUGCAUUAGUUAUAGGAUUUCAGAGUAAUAUGGCAGUGUUAUUACCCUAUACUGGAACUUUACAGGGGGUAGACAUGCAUUAGUUAUAGGAUUUCAGAGUAAUAUGGCAGUGUUAUUACCCUAAACUGGAACUUUACAGUGGUUAGACAUGCAUUAGUUAUAGGAUUUCAGAGUAAAUUAGCAGUGUUAUUACCCUAUACUGGAACUUUACAGUGGUUAGACAUGCAUUAGUUAUAGGAUUUCAUAGGAUAUACAAUGGUAGGCAUGCAUUAGAUAUAGGAUUUCAUAGGAUACAAGCAGUGUUAUUACCCUAUACUGGAACUUUACAUGGUAGGCAUGCAUUAGGAAAAGGUUUUUUUAAGGAAACAAGCAGUAUUAUUACGCUAUACUGGAACUCUAUUGAACAGUUCUUUCAAUUUAUUGACAUUUUUUCUAACUACAAAUACUGUUACAGCACUGCUUUUUGGCAAGGGACAAGCAUUUUGUUCAAAGAUGACAUACAAAGCUUAUUAAGAGAUACUGAAAUUUAUGGACAAAUCAUAGAUGCGUAUGCCGAGAUACUUCAUGAUGAUGAAAAGAAGGAUCCUGCAAGACAACAGAAUGCAUACAUCACGUGCUACGCAUACGUAAAGAUCAUACCUAUCCCGUUACUUCUAGUAAAAAUCACAAAUUAUUCAUCUUCCUAUAUUUUUCACAUUCUCUCUAAUGCCGAAACUAUUAAUCUUGCAGAGGUAUCUCACAGGUAAAAUGCACCCAAGAGCAUUCGAUGAAUAUUUUGUCAAACUCCUUGAAUGCAUAGGGAAGACUUCAAAGGUGUUCAUACCAAUAACGGAUGGCGGACACCACACCCUGCUUGUCUUUGACACCAAUUCAUCGCAAUGGACGCACUACAACUCAUUGUGGGGGGAAACUGAGCAAACCGUUGAAUACUACAACAAAAAAGCAAUAAUUUUGGUAAGACAGACUCCUAAUAUGAACUGUUAAUACAAUGCAUGAACAAAACAUUUAAUCAGUGAAGCUAACAACAUACUUGCCUAAAAUGCAGGCAGACGCAUCAAAUGUCUUCCUCAAUAGUGUCAAGGAAUGUGCUCCAUCAAUUUUAGAAAAAAACAGCUUCACACUUCUUGAGUUCAAGAAGCCCGUCUACAAUGAAGAAUUCACCGACGAGAUUGCAAAACUUCUUCCGAACCUGAAAGUUACACCAGCAAUUGCUCAAACAAUACAAUAUCUGAUGAAACAUGAUCCCACAAAAUUCAACUUUAAGGAGGACAGGGAAUGCGCCCAACAACCCCAAAAGUCGUAAGUGUCACAAUAACACUUUUCUUCCCCCAAUUCAAAUUAAACUAUGAUUCACUAAAUGUUACAUAUACAUAUGUCUGAAUUUGCAGAAACGAUUGUGGAGUAUUUGUCAUGUACUACAUCCAGCAGUUGUCACAAGGAAAACAAAUUGAAGAAAGCUUGAGUACAGCGCAUGUGUGGGAAAUGAGAAAAGAAGUUUUAUUGAAGACAAUGGAAAGUGAAAAAAGUUGGUAUUUCACAAAAGGGAAUGAAGGAUGAAAGCAUGGAUUUCACAAAUUUUAGAACUAUAAAAUAGAAAAUGUCCGGCUUCUAACUUCCAAAUGUCAAAGUGUUAAUAUGUAGCUUCUAAACAAAAUCUUUUGCUGCUUCUUAACUUUCAAAUGUCUAAUAGUUACUGUGUAGUGAGAUUCAAAUGUAAAAAAUUGUUACUGUGUAGCUUCUUCUAAAUUUCAAACUGCGCAUUAACAAUGUUCAAAAUGCGUAUUAACAGUGACUUUCAAAAAGCCCAGCCCAACUUCAGAAAAUCAAGUUCAGAAACGAAAUAAAGCCCAAAACAAAUCAAGCAAAUAAACUAAAUAAACUAAAAAGUCUCAUAAAAAAAGAAGCCCAGAAAACUCAACAAGCCAAUAAAGCCCAAUUUAACUAAGCCCAUUGAAAGACAAAAAAAAUCUAAGCCCAGAUAAACAACAGUACACGCAGGCACCCAAAAGCCGAAAACCCACUCACCUCUAACCCCGAUCUCUGCGACACCAACUCCAAAAGCAGGCGAAAACCUCCAUAACCACCAGACAGGAGACAAACUCCAUUACGAGAAAGCCGGCGAAUCGAAGUUACAUUCUGCCAUAGCCACAAGUCUUCAAAAUCGACACUACAAAACCCAGGAAAAAAGCAACUGAGCACAAGGACAACCCAGCGAAAAAGGAAGAAAAUUUCAACCAUAAACAUCGACAUAAGGUACAAUCCCAAAAACCCAAACUCACUUUCUACUUUCAUCUUAAGAUUCUGCUAACUAAUGCAAGAGUACGACGUUUAAUACAGGUAACCAACGAAAGGGCCAACAAUGACAGAAACAAACACUCAAGAUGCAAAAAACACAGAAGACCAUCCCAAAUCAAACGAAGAAGCUUCAGAAAUGGCUGAAAAAGCAUCACAAUCAAACUCCCAGGUAUUACAAAAUCUCUUAACUUCAAAGUCCGAUAGAAAUGUUCUGAAAAAACGCAUGUUUUGACUGCGAUGUAUAUGUUUCACAACUGUUAAUAUUAUGUCAUAGAACUUGAACUGUUAAUACUAUGUCACAACUGUUAAUACUAGUGCACUGAGUGCACUUGAAGACCAACAUAUGUAACAUCCUUUCUUCUAGUGCAGUGCUUUGUUAAUCAAAAUCUGUGGUUGCUAUGCAUCUCUCUCUUCUAGUGCACUGCUUGCAGUGCACUAGAAGACCAAAAUAUAUAGCAUGCUAUGUGUCUUGCUCUUCUAGUGCACUGAGUGCACUUGAAGACCAACAUAUGUAGCAUCCUUUCUUCUAGUGCAGUGCUUUGUUAAUCAAAAUCUGUGGCUGCUAUGCAUCUCUCUCUUCUAGUGCACUGCUUGCAGUGCACUAGAAGACCAAAAUAUAUAGCAUGCUAUGUGUCUUGCUCUUCUAGUGCACUGAGUGCACUUGAAGACCAACAUAUGUAGCAUCCUUUGUUAAUCAAAACCUGGGACUUCUAUGCAUUUUGCUCUUCUAGUGCAACAUGCACUAGAAAUGCAUAUGAGGUUCAAAUGCAUAGAAGUAAAUGGUUAAUACCAUGUCAUAGAAGUAUUAAUACUUAUGUUUCAUCUUUCUUUUGUUAAGUUAAAAUUACAUAUUUGUUUCACUUUGCAGGUGAUCAUAUGAAAAAAGGUAACCGGGUUGAAAUUCAAAAAAAGAGCAUACAAAAGUAUCCCAAGCCAGAAAAAGCGCAAAAAAAAAUCAACAAACACACAAGGCACACCACUAACAACAGCAAAAGCCAAACCAAGCAGACGCAAUAACCCAAAUUAUGUGCAGAUCAAGAGCAACAUGCUCACAUUUGACAACACAUUGCAAACGGUAAAAGACAAGCUUGCAGCAAGAAAGGAUGUCCUCAAGAUCCUACAAAAAACGCCAUUCUGGAGCAUCAUCAAGGCUUACAUGGAAGGUCAGCUCACCAAGGUAGAAUGCCAGAAGUCUAAUUAUCAAAUAAUUAGACUAAUCAGGUUCUACAACCCCGAAACCAAAAAAUUCAAAUUCAGUGAAGGCAACGAGUAUGAAAUUACAAGCAAUGAUGUGUCUGAAAUCUUUGGAUUGCCUAACAAAGGAAACAAGUUGCCAAGCACAACAACUUCCACAAGAACAAAUUUGGGCUUUGAAAAGAAGUACUUCAAGAAUUCAAAAAAAAUCACAAAAACUGAGGUUGAUAGGUGCCUGAACACAGCAAUAGCAGAUGACAGAAAGAACAAUGCAAUGGAUGUUGUGAGGUUGUUAAUCCUAGAGCUCCUCAUCACAAAUCUCUUUUGCAACUCGGGGGCGACAAUGGCUUGGACCUUUUUGACUAUGAUUGACACCUUAGAAGCAAUGAACAGCUACAACUGGGCACAAGGAGUCUUAGAUUACAUGCAUUUUGGACUGGACCAAGCCAUGAAAAAUAAAAAGCACAAGACAAAUCAACCAAGUGUCAGUGGUUGCCUUGUGCUAAUCCUGGUAAGAAACUACAUCCAUUUGUUAAUCCUAUUAUAUUAUUUGUUUUCACGUGCAUUAACACUUUAUAUUGAAAAACAUGUUUGCAGUAUUGGCUGUGUGAAAGAACUAACCUGAUCAGUCCAAUUCCUGGAAGAGAAGAUCAUAAACCAGCGGCUGUCAAAUGGAGCCUUCCGGAGCUCAAUAUCAAGCUGAAUAUUGCAAAAUAUGAAAACAUUAAGGCAUUUUUCUUACUUCCGUAAACAUAUAUAAUGUUAGUACACCAUAAUUACUACUGACUCCAAUAAUUCAACAGAUAAAAGCUGCAGACAAUGAAAAAGAAGAAGAAGCAACGACUGAUCACGCAGACCAUGAAGAACAAGAAGAAAAUGAAGAGGAUGAUGACUUUGUUAUCACACUUAAAGAUUGGGUAAGAUAACCUACAAUGACCCAACAUUUAUAUUUCAAAACUGAAUUGAUGGUGGACACACACAUAUACAUGUAUAUAAAUUUGCUAAUGAUCUUUUUUUCCUUUCUAAUAUUUGUGACAGUUAAAGAGUCAAACACAAAAAGGAAAAAAGCAGACUAUUAUUACCCAGAAACAGAACUUCAACUUCCAUGAAAAUGUGGACCAAAGUGCAACCCAGACAAACACUCCACAACAGGAGCAAAAUGAAGACAAUACAGAGUCAUUGGGAUGCAAAGCAGAUGAUGAAAUUGAAGAACCACCAGCACAAGCACCGGGAUGCGAAGCAGAUGAUGAAAUUGAAGAACAAGCAGUUGACCUUAGCAGAGACUCAAUGACGGAGGGGGACACUGUUAAUGUCCAGCAACAGCAUCCAGACCUUGACAGCCAGGAAGAAGACUUCAACACCAUUUUUGAGGACAUAGUGGGUUCAAUCCCAGAGUACUACAAGCAUGAAAUAGUCCCUACCCAUGAGAAAAUCCAACAGCUGAAAGAAGCAGUCGACUAUUGGAUUGAAAAGGCAGAUACUCGAAGGGAUAUGAUGCAGAGUGCUAUAGAAUCCUGCAUAAAGAAAAAUUCAUUCAUUCAACAAAUAUGGACAGAAAAAGAAGAGUUGGAGAAAGAAAUUGAAAUACUGAAAAAGCAGCUUGAGAAAGAGAAAAAAGAAGGUGCAAAAUUACAAGGGGAACUUCAUGCACUCAAAACAAACAAGAGACAGCUACAGGAACAACAUAAACUACUUGAAGGGGAAAAGUUGUCCUGCAUUGAGAGCAUGAAAGAAAAAGACACUGUUAUUGCCUCUUUGAAACAUGUGAUGGGAACAAAUUUCACACAAGGUGAACAAGGAGAAAUUACAAUGAAAGAACAAGCUGAUAAGGAGAAAAAAGAUGAGAGAAUAGCAGAAGAAAGUGAAUUGGAGGUGCAAGAAACUCCUAAUGAUGAAGAUGAGAAUGCUGAUGAAAAAACUCCUGAAAAGUCAGUUCUCCUGCAAGCGAAAGAAGUAGGAACCAGGCAGUUACGUUCUGGCAUCAAAAUCAUCAAAGACAGAAAAGACAGAAAGCCUGCAAAGAAACCAGAUUACACAUACCCCGAAGCACAUAAGAAAGCCUGAAAAAGAGAAAGCCAAAGCGAAGAUGAAGCACCCAACAAAAAAAAGAAGGAAAAAGAUACAUACCUUCAGUUGCGCAUGUAUGAGGUCUACAACAGGCUGGAUGAAAAAUCAAAGAAGAAUUUGGAAAAUUACUGGAUAUCUGCAUCUGAUUCCGAUGAGUAAGCCAAUCUGUAGUAGAAUUACACUGUUAAUACUAUGUCGUAGAACUGUCAUAGAAUUACACUGUUAAUACUAUGCCGUAGAACUGUCUUGCUAUUAAACUGUUAUGACAUUAUUAUUUGCUGAAUUAUUAUUUAAACAACAUUAUUGUUCAGGGGCGCUUUUUACCUACACAAUAGGACAGUAUUGUACAAACAUAACAUUGAAAAGCUGAUGGGAGAUGAUCCAAUUUCUGCACUAAUCAUCGAUGCUUAUGGAGAGGCACUUAAUGAUGAUGCGAAGCAGAACCCUCAGAAACAAAAAAAUGCAUAUUUGUCCGCCAAUAACUAUGUAAGAUCACAUAUAAUACAUCAAUAUUAUAUCAUCAACAUUGUUACUAAUCACCAACACAUGACUUAUGCAGAUGUUUUUGCGAGGUGCUUCACACAAGCUGACAUAUCAUGCUUUCUAUAUGCCACUCCUAGAAAAUAUUGGAAGCGUUGAUAGAGUGUUCAUACCAAUUACAGAUGAGAACCACCAUACGCUGCUUGUCUUUGACACCGGUGCAGCAAAAUGGACACACUUCAACUCAUUCAGGGGGACAUCAAAACAAACUCUCGAAUAUUAUCACAAGAAGGCAAUUGUUUUGGUAAGUAAAACUGGUGAUUAACACUGUUAAUACAUAGGACACUAAAUUUAAAGGAAACUACGCACAUACUUGACUAUGACUAUGAUGCAGGUUGAGACAGCGAAUAUGUUCCUCUGUCUUCUUAAGGAAUGUGCUGCAGCAUCACUGAAAACAAAACUCGUCCAAAUUCCUGAUUUUGAUGCCAAGAAGCCGAGAGGGCUUAAUGAAGCUUCAGCUAGAAUGAUAGCAAAAAUGCUUGCCAGCAACAAACUUACACCGGAAUAUGCUCAGACAUUGAAGUAUCUGAUUCGUCAUGAUACUACUAACUUCAAGCUGACUGAGAACAGAGAAUGUCCCCAACAAGCAAACAAUUCGUAAGUUAUGCAAUAACAGUGAAACUUUAAUCCUAUUCAACUGAAAAAAAUACUGAACUAACUCCUGCAUGCGUAUCUCUAUUAUGCAGCAAUGAUUGUGGCGUCUUUGUCAUGCACUUCAUGAAGCAGCUUUCCAAAGACCAACAAAUAGAAUCAGAUUUCAACAAAGAAAAGGUCUGGGAAAUGAGAAAAGAAGUUCUCAUGAAAAUUAUGAGCAAUGAAAGAAGUUGGAUUUCCAUCAAAGAAAGAGGAGAGAAAUGCAAAGGAACGAAGUUGUAAUCAAAUAUUUUGCAAAAAUUCUUGCUUAUAUUGUAGUUUCUUAGGACUUGUGUAGGUUUAGAACAUUGAAGUAAAGUGAUUUUCAAAUUCAAGUUAUGUACUUAUUCAAAAAUCAGUUUAUUUACGUGAAUUAACAGUGUAUGUAACCUGAAAUAAUGGUCUCCAUAACACUAAAACAACUAAAAAGGUGAACUCCAACAAAUAACAACGCACUCUCAAUACAAUGUUAAUCCUAUUUGAUAGAAAUAAAUUGUUAAUACCAUGUCAUAGAACUAUCUUUUAAUUUCAACAAUGACAUAAACAGUGGGUAUUAAAACAGUGUUCCUUCAUUUAUAGAUUAUUCAAACAGCAGUAAUGCUUAAUUCAUAUCAAACUUCAAAACCAAAAUUUCCAAAAUACCAAAAAUGGUACAUAUUAUGUAUUAAUACCGAAAAUUCAAACAGUAUUCAUAUGCAGUGACUGCUAUUUCACCGUAUUAACAACUUGCAUAUCAAUUUCUAUUCCUUUCAACUAUGAUUGUCACUAAUCAAUCACAUAGCACUUUAACUAGUUAAAGACUAAUACUCUCAUUCAAGUCUUUAUACUCCAAAACCUUUACAUCAAAUAGGAGCCUUGCAAGUCCUCCUAUUAUGACGAUCACAAGAACCGCAUCUCUUGCACUUCAACUGCCUUGUAGUUUCACUGCUUAACUUGAAGCGAUUUGUCGGAGGUCGUCCCGGAGGCUUUCUUGUAUGCGGAGGUAGAAGAAAAACAUCUCCAGCAGGAGGCUUCUCAAUAUCAGGUAUAGGAAAUAUAGGGGUUGCAUAAGUAGCCCUAUAAAAGUCUGCCUUGUAAUACUCAUCAACAAAGUUAUACAAACAUAACCCGGAAUGUUGGAUAACUUGAAUCGCAUGCUGACACGGAAACCCAAGCAAUUGCCACUGAUAACAGGAGCAAAACCUCUCGUCCAAAUUGACCAUAACACUCAAAUCAGCAUGAACUUCAAAUAUAGAUUCACUCGCGCGACAUAUCCUCCAAUGACGACCCUUUGCAGCUAAAUUCUUCAACUCAUCCUCAAUAACCGGACACAAAACACUACACCAUUUCUCGGAUGCAAGCUUCCUCCUAGAAAUCAUCUCCAUCAUUUUGACCCUAAUAGUGUCAAUCAUCUCAUAAAUUGGAAGCCUACGCACAUCCUUAACCCAUGAAUUAAACGACUCGGACAAGGCAUUACUAACCUCCCCAUACCUCUUUCCCGGAAAAAAUGCAUUAGCAAAAUUUUGGACAGGGAGAUCAGCCAAAAACUUAUCAAUUAUUUUUGAACCGCCAUCAUCUCUUAAUUUUUUCAAAAUAUCUUGAUAUUCCUCAACAGUCGGUGCAUACAACAACUUACAAAAAAGCCAUAAAAUAUGAUCCUUGAAAGAGGAACCAACAGAAUGCGGAUACUUCUUUUUCAAGUUCUCUUUCAAAUGAUAUAGACAAAAACCAUGGGCAGAAGCAGGAAAAACAGUCCUAACAGCAUCGAUAAUAGCACCAUGCCUAUCAGAAAUGAAUGUAAGUUGCCUACCUUCAUCCACCAAAACUUCAGAUAUCCUUGGCAGAAACCACCUCCGAUUGUCAGCAGUUUCACCGGAUACAAUAGCAAAGCAAAAGGGANNNNNNNNNNNNNNNNNNNNNNNNNNNNNNNNNNNNNNNNNNNNNNNNNNNNNNNNNNNNNNNNNNNNNNNNNNNNNNNNNNNNNNNNNNNNNNNNNNNNAAACAGAGAAAUAUAUUAGUUAGUUUGAACAUUGCAAGAGCUAACAGUGUUACCACAUGAAGCAGAGUAAAACUACAAUGCAUAAAAAUACUCAGAUGCAGGGUAUGAACAGUAUAGAAACUGUUCAUACCACUCAAUGGAAGUCAACAAACAGUAUAACAAUUGUUCAUACCACUAACUGGAAGUCAACAACUACAGCAUUUACAUUUGCAUACCUAUACUGUUCAUACUACUCAAUGGAAGUCAACAACUAAAUCAUUUACAUUACAUACCUUUAUUCCCAUUCUUUGCAGUAGCUCCUAGAAGAGUACCCUUGUACUUGUUUGUAACGAAAGUACCAUCAAUAAACAGCAUAGGCCUACACCAUCGAAAACCAUCAAUGGAGGCCUUAUAACAUAUAAAGAUCCGCUGGAAACGAGAACCAUCCUCGCCACAGUCAAGCACACAAUGAGACCCGACAUUGCUGGCCUUCAAAACAUCAACAUACCAAGGCAGGUGAGCAUAAGACAACUCCUCAUCACCAUGUAAAUCCUUAGUAGCUGACUCCUUCCCAUACCACGCAACAUGAUAAGGGACAUCCAAUCCAUAAUUUUCUUUCAAAUCAGUAAUUAGCUCAAUAGGCCUUACCAAAGGAUUGCUACGAACUUUAUCUUUGACAAUUGAAGACACCAAACGAGACCCCAUUGCCUUAUUUCUCUUCUCACGGAUCAAACCACUACAACUGUGUACAUUAUUUAAAUUCUUAAUGUAGAAAAAUCCAUUUACAUUGGACUUAACAGCAUGCACAUUCCACUCACAGCCAUUUGAUUCCUUCUUAGCACACACAGCAGUAACACGACGAGGCUCAUUCUUCAAAUACUUCAUCUUAAAACCAUUCUCAAUCGCGUACUUAGCCAACUUAUCACGGAAUUCACAAACUCCAGCCUCAAACUUCUGACCCUCAUGAGUAAUAUAACCCUCCCAAUCAGUAGACAAAUAUUUACGCCCUCCACAACUACCAUAUUUGCCUAAAUAUUCAUUUCCAAACUCACUGCUAAUACCAUAAAAAUCCAUACUCAAACAAGAAGAAGAAGCAGCACUUGAAUCAACAAUACUACCAGUUUGACUUGAAUCUUUACAUGUAUCCUCAUAUUGUGCAAAACUGUAAUUGUUAGGAGCAGACUCCAACAAAAAAGGAGAAGCAAUCAUGUUCGUAUUAACAGUUUGAACAUGAUUCACUACAGCCUUAUCCCUAACAGCAAUGUGAAUUAAUUGAUCCUUCAUCAGUCCACAUACCAUAAACAUGAUUUUCAAAUCAUCGUCCGAUUCCAACAAACAAUUGGAGCAAUCCAUAAAAGAGUACCUCAACUCAAAAUGACCUAACUUAAGCUUAAACCUACUACACAACUCGUUGGACAACCAAUCAAAAGUAGUAGUUGAAGACAAAAUAAGCAUUAAAGUUCCAGCACCAUAGGUGCACUUCGCCACUCUCGAAUCAUCCAUAUAUAUCUCUACAAAAAAACAACAAACAAAACAAAAAUGACUACUAGUAAUAACAGUGGAUGCCGAGUGCAUUAACAAUGAAUUAUAGUCGACUCAAAAACCAAUAGCGCAUAAACAGAAAAAACACGAAUAUACUCAGAUUCAACUGAAAAAGCAUACCUCAAUUAAAUCGAAUAACACAAAUUUUUCACCACAGCUCAAACCAAAACACAAGAGCAAAUCCACAAUCAAAACGAAUCUGAAAUCAAUCCAAAUUAUAAACAAAAAGAAACGAAAACCUAAUCAGCAACUUAAUUAAUCGAGCAUCAAAUCACCAAAAAGCAGACUACAAUAUAAUCGAAUACCUCCAAAAUCGAAUAUGAAUUCACAAGAAAAAAUCGAAUACCUCAAAAAUCGAAGAUCACAGAUCUCACCAAGCUCCAAUCGAGUCUCAUGCAGCGCAUAUCAAUCCAAAAAUCACCAAAUCAAACAAGAAAGAAAAAGAAAUUGAAGCAAUAGAACUCCAAUCUACGCCAUACUAAGCUCAGAAGAAUCGAAAAAGAAGAUCUGGAACCACAUCAUACUGAGCUUCGUUCGAAGAGGUGAACGAAACUCGUUUCGUUCAAAGAGAUGAACGAAGCUUCCUUCGUUCGAAGAAGUGAACGAAGCUCGCUUGGAAUAUUCGAUCUGCUGAGGCUGCCAAACAGGUUUCUGUUACGAGGUCACCAACGUAAAUUUCAAGAAAUUCCUAUCCUAGGCUGGCGAGUUUUGGGCAUGUUUCAAAAUAUUCGAACCAAGAAGGUCAAAAACGUAAUCUAACAUAGAAAAUAAAAUACAAGAAUAGACAGCUUUCUACAUUGGGUGUGUUUUGGGGUGUGUUUAUAUGUGAUUAAGAUCAUGUAAGGGAUAUUUAUAGUUUCAUGUCUACAUUGGGUGAUUCACUAAUUUUGUANNNNNNNNNNNNNNNNNNNNNNNNNNNNNNNNNNNNNNNNNNNNNNNNNNNNNNNNNNNNNNNNNNNNNNNNNNNNNNNNNNNNNNNNNNNNNNNNNNNNGAAAAAAAAAAAAAUCUUUUUUCCCCCCCUUUUGGGGGGGUUUUAAAAAUUUCUUUUUUUAAAAAAAGUAAACCCCCCCGGGCUUUUUUUUUUUGAACCAAAAUUUUUUGUUUUUUUUUGCCCCCUUUUUUUUUUUUUUCCCCCCCCCCCCCCCCCCCCCCCCCGCGGAACAGUACCCCUGCUAAUUUUCUCUUAAUAAAUAGUAUAGCCGGGCGGCUACACUGGGUUUUUUGAAAAUUUCUUUGCAGAAUAGUAUAGCCGCACGGCUAUACAAUUGAAUAUAAUAUAUUUCAAGCAUAUAGCCGGUCGGCUAUACUGUAUUUUUUUUUUUUGGGUCCUUUUUUGUUUUUCCGAAACAGUACUCUUGCUGAUUUUCUUUUAAUAAAUAGUACAGCCGCACGGCUAUACUGGGGUUUUCGAAAAUUUCUUUGAAGGAUAGUAUAGCCGCACGGCGAUACUAAUAAAAUACAUAGGGUGCUUGGAAGUUGGGCCAGACUAGGUAAUUGGAAGUUGGCCCACACAAGGCAAUUGGAAGUUGGGCCAAGUGGAAGCCAAUUGGGCUUCAAAUUCAACUUGGGCAUUGAAUAUAUAAUAUUUAAUUAUCAAAAAGAUGGCCUUAGGCCUUGGGGUACUUGGGCAUUUAUGAUUUAAAUUAAUUAAUUAGUUUCGAAUUAUUAUUAUAAUUUCUUUUUUAAAAAAAAUUUAAAAUUCGGAUUAGUUUAAUUAAUUUCACUGGGGGGCCUAUUUUGUCUUCAUUUUUAAUUUUAAUAAUAAAUAGUAUAACACAUUGCCGUUUAAUAGUCGUGUUAUACACAUACAUACGUAUUUUUCCACAAUACUUCCAUUUUUCGUACACAAGGAAAACGUACAAUACACGCACGUGCGGAUUUUUCAUGUUUAAUACACGUGUUUUUACAAAAUUGUCAACAAUACACACAAAAUUCACGUAUUAUACACACAAUUUUACAUACUAUUGAAUAAAAAUAAUAUAUAUCGAAAAAUUAUAUAGUGGCCGAACUUUAUGAUCAUUCAUAUGCUUGGUAGUAAGGUAAGUUAGCCCAAGGAAAAAGAAGAAAUCGAUUCAUACCCACUCUUGUAGGGGUUUUUAAAAUCUCUUCUUUUAACAAAUAGUAUAGCCGCACGGCUAUACUAUUAUUGACCCUUUUUUUUCCCGGAACAGUACCCCUGCUAAUUUUCUUUUAAUAAAUCGUAUAGCCGGCCGGCUAUACUGGGUUUUUUGAAAAUUUCUUUGAAGAAUCGUAUAGCCGCACGGCUAUACAAUUGAAUAUAAUAUAUUUCAAGCGUAUAGCCGGUCGGCUAUACUGUAUUUUUUUCUUUUUUGUCCUUUUUUGUUUUUCCGAAACAGUACUCUUGCUGAUUUUCUUUUAAUAAAUAGUACAGCCGCACGGCGAUACUGGGUUUCUCGAAAAUUUCUUUGAAGGAUAGUAUAGCCGCACGGCUAUACGUUUAAAAUACAUAGGGUGCUUGGAAGUUGGGCCGGUCUAGGUAAUUGGAAGUUGGGCCAAGUGGAAACCAAUUGGGCUUCAAAUUCAACUUGGGCAUUGAAUAUAUAAUAUUUAGUUAUCAAAAAUAUGGCCUUGGACUUUGGGGCACUUGGACAUUUAUGAUUUAAAUUAAUUAAUUAGUUUCGAAUUAAUUUUUUAAAUAAAAUUUUCUUUUUUUUAUUUAUAAUGAAUUCAGAUUAGUUUAAUUAAUUUCACCGGGAGGCCUAUUUUGUUUUCAUUUUUAAUUUUAAUAAUAUAUAGUAUAACAUAUUGCUGUUUAAUAAUUGUGUUUAUAUAUAUAUAUAUAUUUAUAAUACGGGUAGUUACUAUUUUCAGCCAUUUUACAAAACGGACAAGGCCAAAUUUUCUGAUCAACCAAACACAAGAUGCUAAAAGGCAAAAAUUUGCUACUGAACAGAGCAAGGGUGCCUUGAAAGCCCUCAUUGACAAGAUUUGGAGAACUGGUUUGCAAUUUGGGUUCCAAUGAAAUUUACGGAACUUAUCAUCCAUAACUAAAUACAGGCUUUGAAUAGCAUAUAUCUAUUAAACCCAAAAACCACAAGAUUCAGUAUUAUUACAAAGAAAGUAGAGACAUUUUUCCAGCAUUCAAAGAAAUUAGAGAUAUUUGAACUCAAAUAUCAAUGUCAUGAAUUAACCCUGGUCUUGAACAAGCACAAUUCAGCUUAGGCAUUAGGCGCCUAUUAUUAUGAUCCUCAACUGUUAAUCAACCGGACUACAGUACCUUUAGCAUCAUUCUGGCUAUUAACAAACUCUUUAUCAAAUUUCUAGAGUUCAAAAUGUAAUUAUUGCUGGUUUUCAAACAAAACAACAAAACCAAUUUGCCGUAUCAAGAAUAAUAAAAGCAUAUCAGCAGCAUCAACCCUUCAAGAAAGAAAGAACCAAACCAACGUGCCAUGCAUCCACCAUUCACAUAAAAUUAAAGGAAUCCAGAACAAAAUUAUGCUUGUAUUGCAAACCAAAGUAGCUAAAAUUGUCAUGAAACUAAGUUGACAAACUAAGCUACAAAUAUAAAUCCAGUGCCAGUGAUUGAAAAUCUUUAACAGGGUAAAGAGGAAACACAAUUUGAAAUUCUCUCGCUCAUUAUACUCAUUUUCC